AAUCAGCGUUCGGACCUCAUCGGAGCGAAUGCCGGAAAGCAUCUGAAGACGAUUGGAUGAUAGAAUCUCGAAAGAGGAGAUUCGCCGGAGAUUUCGCCAAUGGUCGCCGUAGGGAGCUGUGCCGAUGGCCGUAUAGUUGUAACCUAGGUGUUUGCCGGCGAUCAGGCGGGGGCGGUUGGCAAAAAUGAUGUCGUUCUUGGUGAAACAUUCCUCAGCAGCUGAAUGUGAGGAAACAAUGAGCACAGGCCGGUAACCGAAUCGCAAGAAGAGUAUGGGGCCAUGGCGGUCCGAAAUUUUGGAUAAGUUUCGGUGCAGCGGUUUCUUAAGGAGAUAGAGAUGGCCGAUCAAGGGCAAAAUGGGAAAUGGGCUUGGUGGGAGAUUGUGGAGCUUGUGAAGGAAGUGCCAUGUGAAGACAUACAAGGCUAAGAAAAUUGGGAUACAGAGGUACAGCAUCUCCAUGGAUGCCUAAAUAUCUAUUCUCAAUCCUCGAUGCCUACAGUACAGGUAUAAAAGUAUCAAGGUAAUGAGGCGUCCAAAAAAAUGACUUUAUAAAGACACAGAGAAAUUGGUAAAAAGGAAAGCAAAAUGUCAUGUGCCAUGGCGGUUUCCAUUACAUAAAAUUGGAGGGACAAGGAACUAAGUGGUUUCUCUUUCUCAUCUUCUUCUCAUCAUAUCAUGUGCCAUGGGAGGUCAGUCAACACUUUGCUUUAAUUUCCUCUGUUACUCGUACUUUUUUUCUUUUUUUUUUGUCAGAAUUGUCCUACACCACCAAGCAACUUUAGUCGGUUCGAGUAGUAAUAAACAAACUGUUGCCCAACCAUUUUGGGAAAAGUUGAAUUGUGGCAACUCAGCCUUUUCUUUCAAAUAGUGAAAAUAGGCCCUGAUCGACGGUGGGCGCGGGAGGAAUGACAGAUCAAGACUACUUCUUUAGCACUUAAUUCCUUACCAACUACGACUUCCGAGUGAAUCAGUGCUUAAUGGAAGCGGGAAUCUCUGAGUGAAUCAAUGCUAAAUGAAAGCGAGAACCUCUCUUUGAUGCGCCCAAUAUUUUAUGGGCGUUUAGAUGGGCCUUUCACUGGUAGUCCAGCAAAUUCCAAAUGCUUCAUCAUUUCACAGGCACCAAAGAACCCAAAACGUGUCACCAAAGUUGAGAAAGGAGGCUCACCAUGGAUGGUCGUGGUCUACACUUAGCCACCAAGGACUGAGCUUGGGGAAUGGUGAGUUCUGUUCCUUCGCUCAUGUCCACCCUCAUUGCCAAUCCUUCCCUGGGGCAAUCCCUCAUCCCAGCCCCCGAAAGGCGAAAACAUGAAUCCAUUUCUGUGUCCCUCGGGACCUUGGAAUCUCUCUGGCUUAAAAUUCGUGGGCUCUCUGCCCAUGCAUAACAUAGGAUCAGUUUGUAUAGCUCACAUGUUCACCAAAAGCAUUGUGCCACUUGGGACUCUGAAGCCUCCCACAGUGCACUCAUCGGAUGACUCGUGGGGUACUAGCAGUGAGGCAGCUGGGUACAUUCGGAGUGUCGCCUUAAUGAUGCCGUGCAGAUAGGGAAGCUCUGCUAUAUCUAAUUCAUCAAUCAGCCUGCUCCUUCCCAAGUGGGAGUCUAUUUCAGCCUGGGCUUUCACAAAGGUUUCUGGAUUGUUCAGCAAAAGUGACAUUGCCCACUUCAUUAGUUCAUUGUCCCAGCUGACGUGUCCCUCCAUGCUGAAUUGUCCCGUAUGUGCAUUAUUCUCUGCCCUCGAAGAAUUCACAUGUUAAAAGCCUUGCGUAGUUGGACAACUACACAGUCAUCUGGUCACAAUUUCUAAAUAAGGGAAUACUUGGAACGGCAUUACAUUACUUGUAGGACCAUUCUGCGAGCUUGAUUGGCUCGAUCAUUUUUAUACAAAGGGAUUGUCAAUUGCUUUCCAUGUUAAAAACUUCAACCUGGUGUAAACUUUGGCCAUCUCCUUCAACUGAUUUAUCCCUGUAUCCUUUAAGUGAAAUCAUCCCUUUUAUUAUUAUUAUUAUUAUUUUAUAAGUAACAGGAAGUGUACCUCUGAAGCUAGAAUCAUUAACAAUUUUUCUGUUUGUAUACAACGUAGGUCAAGAGAGAUUACUUGCAUCAUGCCUGUGAUGAUGUGACCUGUGUAGCAUUCAGGUUCAGUUUCUUGCAUUGAUACUAGGACGUCAAGCAUAGCCUUGCAUCCCCCUUACAAGAACUGCUCCUCAUUCUGCUGUGCUCUUCAAUCAAAUUCUGCAUGAAUCCAUCUCUUUUCCCUGCAUUAUCGCCAACUUGUUUUUUCCAGUCUAUUUCAUCGAGCGGUACAAAAUCUCCAACAUUUGUAGCCCCACUCAACUGAAAGGUCUUUGCCACUAUCUUCCGGACUUUCUUGUAUCCUCCGAUUCUCUUACAUUGUCACCUUGGUACCUCUUUCCUGGGAUCAUUCUCAUCGUAUUGUCAAGUGUCAACUCAAAAAUCAUCAGUUUCUUACCUUCAGAGCAAAUAUUAUUUUUGAACACCUUUGCAAACUUAUAUUUAAAGCAGCAAUUUUAUUGUUAUCACCCAGAGCCACUUGAUUUUAUUUUUAUUCUUUUAAAUAGAUUGGAAUCACUUCUUCAAAACGUAGUUCCAAAUCAGAUUAAAGAAACCAUAUUUUAAAAAUGCAAUUUCAACCUAAUUUAGAAAAAUAAAAUAAAAUCAUGUGACUCCUAGACAUUAGUAAAAUGACUGUUUUGAGUAUAAGCUUGAGAAGGUGUUUAAAGAUAUAUUUAUUGUGUCGUAAAAGCUAUUUUUGGUCCCAAACUCUUCCCUUGCAUUGAUCUAUUGAAGGAUUGUCAAGAAUAUUACUAUUGGAGAGGCCUACUCUAUGAUUUGGAUGUGACUUUGAUGGAAUGUGAAUAUAUCGUCCAUCGCAACUAGUAGUCUUUCUUGAUCGGAUCAAGACUUGAAAGCUUGAAUUCAAGUUUACCUCAAUGUUUCUGGUUCCAAGAUUUCCUUUUGCCUCGAGCUCAUACAAACAAUAAAACAACUGAAGAAAACGAUAAUGAGUAUCGAGAGGUUCGAUAGUGUUAGCGUUUUUACAUGAAAUGUUUUUAUUGAAUUUUUUUUUUAAAUGUUAAAAAAAAUAUAUAUGUAUUAAAUAUUUCUCUUUAAAAUACCAUAAAUAUUUUUUUUUUUAAUUAUAAGUAAUUUUUUAAAAUUUUAAAAAUAUUUUCUAGGUUUUAUCAAAUAUUUAAUUUUUCUUCAAAAACAUUUUUUUAUAAGUUGAAAGUAGUGGUUAAAAAUCCUGUCAAACGUACAUCGAUUCUGACCUUUUUGAGAGGAACAUGUCCCAUUAUAAAAAUUUUGCACCUCAUACGCCCAUCAUAAUAUUUUUGCAGCUCCGAAUUUAAAUGUUGAUCCACAAUGACAUGCAAAACUAGUUGCUGUCAUCGUCCUCACAUUCAUCCAUAUCCUAUUAGGAAUUAUUUCAAAAGAUAUCAGUUGUAAUCAAUGUUUGGAUGGUAAAGAAAUCAAUGCAAUGGCCUUUGUACCACUCCAGCUCUCAUAAAUAAGGAAAGCGACCUAUAUCUUAUCUUAUAUACCAUAUCUCCAACAAUAGUGUCACACAUUCCAAGAAAACAUUUAAUGGAGAGUAGAGACAUACAACACUCGCAUCCCUGGGCCAUUCUAGAAAUGCCUAAGAAACUAGCCAUGUGGGGGCUUGGGGCUUGAUUGUUUCAGAGUUGGGAAAAGAGGUUGACCAUGGUUGGACGAGGCCGACACUUCGCCAGUAAAGGCUGAGCCUUAGGCAGAGUGAGACCACCCCCCUCAGUCAUGUCCACCAUCUGCUCAUCAACCCUCUCCCAAUCAAAGCACUGAAUGAGAGAACCCAAGGCCAGCCCAACUAUGCGGAUGGCUAGGGCCUCCCCUGGACAACCUCGUCUCCCUGACCCAAAAGGAACAAACUUGAACCCAUCUCGAUCCCCUUCUACACCCUCGAAUCUCUCUGGCCUGAAUUCUGUGGGAUCACCCCAAAUUUUGUGGUCACUUUGUAUAGCCCACAGAUUAACAAGCAGCAUGGUGCCUUGUGGGAUGCGAAACCCUCCUACAGAGCACUCCUUUGACGACUCAUGAGGGACUAGCAAUGGGCCUGCCGGAUACAUACGCAGUGUCUCCUUAAUGAUGCUUCGGAGAUAAGGAAGCUGGGCUAGGUCCAGUUCCUCAAUCAGACGAUCAUGUCCCAAGCGGUCGUCAAUCUCUUGAUGUGCCUUCUUAAGGACUUUUGGAUUGUUCAGCAAAAGCGACAAUGCCCAUUCCAUGGUCCCAGCCGAGGUAUCUGUUCCUCCGGUCAACAUAGACUGCGUGCAAAGACAAGUAAUCAGAUUAGGUUUUGUACUUCAAAGAAUUGAUGGGAGAAGAGUUCAGCAAAGUCGAAUAGUAGGUAACAGAAAGAAGCAAGCAAUAUUCACUGGGCAAUCCCAUUUUCAGAACCUCUUUCCUUCAACAGGAAAGCAGACCAAAUUAUUUGAACAUUGCACUGAAAGUCGCCAAGACUCAACAAAUCCGACAUUGGCACCCCUUAGGGUAUUUGAAUGUUUGUCCACAGAAAUGGAAAUUGUUUAUUUUGAAUUUUUUUCAUGGUUCAGAAAGAAUUUGACAAGUUAUUGCUAAUUAUCGUAUAAGAUUGUAUUUUGCAAAUUUAAUCAGAUGAAUUUUGCGAAUUCAAUCAGAUGAAUUUUUCAUUUUAAAUCUAUAAAUUUUGGAGAAGGAAAUAUGGAUCUUACUAGCAUGAGGCCUCUGAUGAUCUCGUCUGUAUAGUACUCAGGCUCUGUCUCUUGCAGCGAUAACAGAACUUCAAUCAUCGUCUUCUGCCUCCCUUCGCAGUUACUUCCCUUCCUUCUGUGCUCUUCUAUCAAAUUCUGUAUGAAGCUCUCUCGCCUUUUUUGCAACUUAAUCAACCUCCUCUCUGUCCCUUUCAACCCUAGCCAGCCCAAAAUUGGUAAGAAAUCUACCAUAUUCGUCGCACCUGCUAACUGGAACGUCUCCGACACCAUCUCUCGAAACAUCCUAGCCUCCUCCACCUCCCCGAUAUUCUCACCAUAAUACCGCUUUCCGCCGAUCAUCUUCAUCAUCACAUUAAGUGUCAUCUCGAAGAACGCAGAUUUCAUUUCCACCAUCUGACUUUGAUUCUUAAAAAGCCAGCGAACCAGAGAUCGGACUUCAUCGGAGCGAAUGCCGGAAAGCGUCUGAAGACGAUUGGAUGAUAGAAUCUCGAAAGAGGAAAUUCGCCGGAGAUUUCGCCAAUGGUCGCCGUGGGGGGCCCAGCUCAUGGAUGUAUAGUUGUAACCUAGGUGUUUGCCGGCGAUCAGGCGAGGGCGGUUGGCAAAAACGACGUCGUUCUUGGUGAAACAUUCCUCAGAGGCUGAAGGUGAGGAAACAAGGAGUACAGGCCGGGAACCGAAUCGAAGGAAGAGUAUGGGGCCGUGGCGGUCCGAAAUUUUGGAUAAGGUUCGGUGCAGCGGUUUCUUAAGGAGAUAGAGAUGGCCGAUCAAGGGCAAAGUGGGGAAGGGACUUGGUGGGAGAUUGCGGAACUUGUGAAGGAAGUGCGAUGUGAAGACAUACAAGACAAAGAAAAGUGGGAUAUAGAAGUACAGCAUCUCCAUGGAUGCCUAAAUAUCUAUUCUGCCAGACUGCCCCUGCUACCGGUGGAGUCUCGGCCCUCCAUCCCGACACUCCAUUUCCACUGGUUUCAAGUUCGACUUUUUAAGUCCACACAACUUGUUAGAAAUGACUAUUAAAAUAGCUAUUUAAUCGGAUGAGAUAAAUCAUAAGUCAUAUCUUCCAAACAAUGACCUCCGUCUUAAACACAUUUUGAGAAAAUAAAAAAAUAAUAAAAAUAAAAAUUCCUCGGGUUAAAAUGAUUUAAUGACUCAAUUGAAGUUAUUAAAUAGAUUAAAUAUAUUUGAUAACUUAAUAUUUUAAUUUAAAAUUAAAAAAUUAUUUUAAUUAUUAAAUUAAAAUAAUUAACUUAUUUUUAAUUCUAAAUUUUUUUUAUCUUAUUUAUUCACAUCUAAAGAAAAUAUAUUUAUUAAUCAUUACUCCAUAUUUAUAAUUCAUUUUUUAUAAGAAAUAUUUUAAAUUUAUUUUAUAUAUAUAUAAAAGUAAUACUUUUAAGUACAAAUAUUUAAUAAAUAAAUUAAUUGCUUAAGAUUAAUGAAAAUAAAUAUUACUUAAAAAUAACGGUGAUAAAUAUUAAUUAUAAUUAAUAAGAGUAUAUAUAUAUAUACAUGCUAAUUUGAUAAUUUAAAAUAAAUUUUAUGUUAAUUUCAUUAAACAAUUUUAAUGUUUAAAGUAAAAAAUAAGAAAUAAGUUUUAAUUUAAUAAAUUAAAAAUAAUUUGAUUUAAAAUCAAUUUUAAUUAUUAAGUAAUAAAUAUUAAGUUUUAUUAAAUAUGUACGUUUUUUUCAGAAUUAUCAAGCACCAUUAAGCCUGAGGUAAAGAUGUGGUAACUCACAACAGUUCAUUUGAUUAGAUAUGAUUUUCUUUUAUAAUUUUAGUGGGCUCAUUAGGUAGGCGUGCAAAUGAACAAAUUAUUGCCCCAACAUUUUUGGGAAAGUUGAAUUGUGGCAUCCUGCAGUAGUGGUAUAGGUUUCACCAAUCUUACAUGGGAGUCUAUGUGGACAAGGUAUUAAUUUUAUUACUAUGAUAUUUAAUAAAAUGGCAUUAUGACUUGAAUUUCAUGGCCAUUGAUAACUAGUUUAUGGGUGUUUAGAUGGGGAUUUCACUGGCAGCCUGGCAAAUUCCAAAUGCUUUAUCACUUGCACAUGAGGUUAGCAGGAUAGAAGGGAACAAAAAGUAGAGAAUUUGUUUGGAUGAACAAAUGAAGCAAAUGCAUACUGUGAGCCCAAGCCAAGAUGAGUCUGCUGCAUUUCCAUGCACAUCAUCAACUAAAGUGGAAGCCGGAAGGGUGGAAGGGCCGAUACUCUGGAGGCUAUAAGCCGUAUUCCAAUGAUAAACUUCACAAACCAAAGGACCCAAAAAGUGUCCCUAAAGUUGAGAAAGGAGGCUCACCAUGGAUGGUCGUGGUCUACACUUAGCCACCAAGGACUGAGCUUUGGGCAUGGUGAGCCCUGUUCCUUCGCUCAUGUCCACCAUCUCCUCAUCAACUCUCUCCCACUCGAAGAACUGAAUCAGUGAGCCUAAGGCCAACCCAACCACCCGCAUUGCCAAUCCUUCCCCGGGGCACCCCCUCCUCCCAGCCCCAAAAGGCGAAAACAUGAAUCCAUUUCUUUGUCCCUCUGGACCUUGGAAUCUCUCUGGCUUAAAUUUUGAAGGCUCUGCCCAUAACAUAGGAUCAUUUUGUAUAGCCCACAUGUUCACCAACAGCAUUGUACCACUUGGGACUCUGAAACCCCCCACAGUGCACUCCUCGGAUGACUCGUGGGGUACUAGCAGUGGAGCAGCUGGGUACAUUCGGAGUGUCUCCUUAAUAAUGCCACGGAGAUAGGGAAGCUCUGCUAUAUCUAAUUCAUCAAUCAGCCUGCUUUUUCCCAAGUGGGAGUCUAUUUCAGCCUGGGCUUUCUCAAGGGCUUCUGGAUUGUUCAGCAAAAGUGACAUUGCCCACUCCAUUGUCCCAGCUGAAGUGUCGGUUCCUGCUGAUAACAUGACCUACACACAAAGUAUAACAAUCUGCAUUAUUCACUGCCCCAAAGAACUCACAUGUUUAAAACCUUUUAUAGUUGGACAAGUACAGUCGUUUGGCCACAAUUUCUAAAUAAGAGAAUACUUUGGAACAGCAUGAUAUUACUUGCAGGCCCAUUCUUUGAGUUUGAUUGGUUUGAUCAUUUUCUAUAUAAAGGGAUUCUCAAUUGCUUUCCAGAUUAAGAACCACAACUUGACAUAAAGUUUGGCCAUCGCCUUCCACUAAUUUACCUCAGUAUCUUUUUAGUGAAAACCGAGAUUAUCCCGUAUAGAAUGGAAUUACUUAAGAGGCAAUUUCUGAAAACUAUAUUUCCUGAUAGAGUUGAUUGAGGUGAGUUGAAUAUUUUUUUCAAGUAACAAGAAGGUUUACCUCUGAAGCUAGAAUAAUUAAUAGUUUGUCUAGAGUGUAGGUGAAGAGAGAUUACUUGCAUCAUGCCUCUAAUGAUGUCAUCUGUAUAGCAUUCAGGUUCAGUUUCUUGCAAUGAUAAUAGGACAUCAAGCAUAGUCUUGCUCCUCCCUUCACAAGGACUUCUCAUUCUUCUGUGCUCUUCAAUCAAAUUCUGCAUGAAUCCAUCUCUUUUCCCCUGCAAUAUCACCAACUUCUUUUCGAUUCCAUUUAAUCCAAUCCACUUCGAGAAUGGUACAAAAUCUACAAUAUUGGUUGCCCCACUCAACUCAAAGGUCUCUGCCACUAUCUCCCGAAACUUUCUUGUUUCCUCCAAUUCUGUAACAUUGUCACCGUAGUACCUCUUUCCUGAGAUCAUUCUCAUCAUAUUGUUAAGUGUCAGCUCAAAAAACAUGGAUUUCAUAUCCACAGCAGAAAAUUGACCUUCACUGGAGGCUCUGAAGAGCUGGCAAAGUAGUGCCCGGACCUCAUCAAUCCGGAUGUCAUAGAACAUCUGAAGCCUAUUGGAUGACAAUAUCUCCAGGGAAGCUAUACGCCUUAAAUUGCGCCAAUGUUGACCAUAUGGUGCCCAGGUAAGAGUGGUGUAAUUGUAACCCAGGUGUUUUCCAGCCAGUAGGCGGGGGCGGUUUGCAAAAACAAUGUCGUUUUUGGUGAAGCAUUCCUCCGCGGCAGAGGGGGAAGACACAAUGAUGACAGGGCGAGAGCCAAAUCUGAUGAACAGGAUUGGACCAUAUUGGUUAGAAAUUUUAGCAAAGGUGCGAUGAAGGGGUUUCUUGAAGAGGUGGAGAUGACCUAUUAUGGGUAGGGAGAGAGGAGGACUUGGUGGGAGUUUUUUGUUGGAUUGGAAAAAGUGCUUGGUAAGAAAGUAUAUGAAGAGGAAGAGCAGAAUGUAGCAAUAAGAGGUGUCCAUGGAUGUACUGAUGGCCUGAAAGUUGAUGUACUUGGAGUAAGCAUCAGCCACCCUUGAAGGAUAGUAACCCCUGUUCACCAUGGUUGAUAGCCUAGCAACAGCAUACCAUGUUUGCAAAUUUGCAAUAAAAGGAUCAGUAGUUGGCAUCCAUCACUGAUGGUUUAUUCUAGUAUAUAUGGACCCAUCAAAUGUAUAUAUGGAGCAGACCAAUGCCAUUCAACCCUGACGCUUUUUCUUAUCUCCUUAGAUGCCUUUGGGAUAACUGGAUCCAAUGUUUUGAUGAGGCCAAACUGCUGCCCAAAAUUUUAAAAACUGUAUGUUCGACAUAAAUUGACAGACUUAUCCAUCAAGGGACCAGCCUAGCCUGUCUCAUAUACUUUUUCCUUGUGUAGAAUAUUAUUUUUGGACCACUGCCCUUUGUUAUUAGCCCACGUCGAUGAUAGGAACGAAGUAAGAUUUGUUAUGUUUGAUUGUAGUUUUCCAAACAUUAGGACUUUAUGCUUUGUUAGGCGGCUUUCUUAUAAAGAAAAUCUUCUACCAUUUAGCAUGGGAAAGGCAUAUUCCUUGAAAGGGCAGGAGUUGUCCUUGUGGAGAAAUUGUGAUGCGGUAACUCCAUCUGAACUAAGUUGCUCCAAGAAAUAAUAAUGACAACAAUAUAUUUUGUGUGAGAGAUUAAUCAGUGGCUCCAUCAUGUCUGCCUCAGACUGAGCUGAAUCCUAGUUUGUUGAUUUUAGUCUCUCUGGAGUAGUGGAACUCAUUUAACACAACAAUUAGUUCAACCCUGGAAAGCAGAAGAACAAGGCUCAAGGGGGACAACAAUCAUUAUAGUGAUGAAUAAGUAACACAAACUCAUUGUACAGCAAUUUGAUAAUAUCCCCUUUUUUUCAAUUACAAACACCUUAAAGAAAUAGAAUUUUGGUUGAUGCUCUGGCUGGCAAGACAAAUUAACUCCCUUUAUGCUCAUAUUUCCAUGUAGCGCUUGAACUCAGUCAACAUGGGCACAAGAUCUGGGGAUAUGAAAUUCCUUCCUAAACAUAAUCACGUAAAACCACAAGCUUGAGGAUUUAGACCCUAAGGAGUGAACAAUUUUCUUACUUUGUGAAUGAACCUUCGACAUAUUGGACAAACCUUGUUCUCCCCUUCUAUAAUCCUGCAAAAUGCAUGCUUAUGAGAUCACUAAAUGGUUACUUGAUGAAAUGAAUACAAAAAUAUUUGGGAGUGGGCACCUUUUAGCACAGUCAUAGCAGGUGGCACAAUGACCACAGGGAACAAAGAAGCAGUUCCGUGGCUCAUCGUAGCAAAUAGUGCAAAUCUUCCCAUCAUACAAAUCCUCUGAGGAGCUGCUAGACAUUCCUGAUUCUGCAUCUUCUUCACCUGUUCCAUAGGUGAGCCGAAAUAGCUUCUCUGGCAUUAAGGGGUGAGUUUCAGUUACUUCCCGAGGCGUUAUCUCCUCUACAUGUACUUCGUUGUCUCCCUCGCAGGCUCCAAGGUAUUUCAAUACCAGAAAUAUAAUAAUUACGACAAAUCCUGUGAACAAAACAUCCAGAAGUCUAGCUACAGACAGAUUAAUAAUCAAACAAAAUUUGAGCUCAAUACAAUACCUAAAAUCGAAACGUAGGUUACCACACGAGCCACAAAAGAAAGCUCAAUGUACCAUCCAGCAAGAUCUCCCUGUAAUUACGUUGUCCAUUAAGGUUAAUUGGGUGAAAAAGUCAUGGAUUUUAGUUGAAAAAAUCAUGUAGAGGUGUGAACUUACAUUGUUGGGUGUGGUUAGUAUGACAAAUUGAGUAUUGGGGAAGAGAAGAUUGAGACGACAGGAUCCCUUUAUUGUUGAACACAUGCUCUUUGCCUUAGUGAUAUCGUACAUCUUGGAUGUAACAUUAACAUUCAAUGUCAUUAUGACGCUUUUACGAUUGGCGUUUAUGAUGCCUACAUAGUAUCUAUUGUCUUCCAGGAUUGUGUAUUCGGCUUCUCUCCCUGUACAUAUAAAUAUUAUGUUAAUGUUAUCCACUAGAUCAUCGGUAACCUCUUUGAGGAACCAAUUUUGUAGAAGGCCAUUAACUUGCUCCAAGGGAGGAAAUUAAUGGCUGGAAGGAGCUGGCUAGAGAACAAUGGACUGUGUUACCAUUUGUUGAUUCAUGGAAGGGAAAGGCAGCAGGGGAAUUUGUUGGAUUCGGCAGCAAAGUUUCGUAUUUUCGUUCCCCUGCAACAGAGAUGUAUUCAGGUGGUAUUUAUUAGAUACAAAGUUCAAAUCCAAUUGAAAUUAAUAAGAUCUUUUUCUAAAAUUAUUUAAGAAAGGAAAUGAUGAUAAAUUGAAGGCAACCUUUAAUUAGAAACACUUGCAGAUCACUCAAACUACUAGGUUGAGCUUCCCAUCUGACACGGAUACUCGAACCUUUAUUCAACCACAAGGAGAAUCCCUGAAAAGGCCGUCCAUUUUAAGGAGGGAAAUAGAUCAAGGUCUUUUUUUUUUGAAAGAUAAAAUAAAAUAAAAAUUAAAUUAAACAAAAACUUCUGUAAAUUACCUUUCGGCCAUAGGAUCCAACGAUGAGAUAAUUGGAGACGCUCCAAUUUGUUUCGACACUCAAUUCUGGCUUCUCCGCAAACCCGUAAAGAAGAACCCCCUUUUUAUCAUCGUCCUUCACUUCAAUCUGCUUUACAAAAAGGGAACUUGCCUUCAUCAAGCGGGAGGAGCUUGGUCCAAGCACCAUUCGGCAGUUCCCGUAAUACCCAUAUCGAAUGCUGACCGUGACUGCAAAAGCAAGAAAAGAGAUUGUCGUUUCAAAAUGCAGGGUCAAGGAAGGAGCAACUGCCAAAGAAAUGAAAUUUUACAUGCCACAUAGCCAUAGAGUUAAAGGAGCAAGCAAGCGAGCGGUGGACUCUUGCCACCCCUGAUGACGACUGGGAGGUGCCAACACUGGUCUGUACAUUCUCCCUUCGGGGAAUAGGAAAUAGGGAAUAGCAACGAGGGCUGAAACAAAGAGAAAGAAGGGGCGAGCCAGGAAGAGACACAACUCAGAGCUAAUGGUCUAAACUAUGGAGGGAGGACUGGUAGAUUUCACUACACAAGUUCCAACUAACCGUUUCUUUCUUAGAUUGGCGGGUAAUGAAUGGCAAUUUUCUUUUCUUUUAUAUUUUGAAUGUUAGGUGUUGGUUAUUUGGCAUAUGCUGACCUACACCAUUCACCAACCCAGCUUCCUUCUAUUACACUUUCUCCAUUCUUUCUUCAAUUUCUGCGUCUGAAUUUUUAGAACUCAAAAUUUUUUAUUUCGAGUUUAAUUGUUUAAAGUCACAGUGAUGCAAUGAAUCCCAUUCUUUCAAGAAGAUUGAUUUAAUAAUUGGACACUCAUUUAAUUGCACUUUUUAUUAUUUUUUACUAUUUAAUAUUAAAAGUCUAACAUAUCAAAAAACUAAGAAGAUGGAAAUAAAAAAUUAAUAAUUAUUGUAUUUCAUUUUUAACCAAUUAUUUAUCCAAGGAUACAACAUAUCUCAUAAAUUAAAUAUUUUUUUUCAUUCAUUUUAUUAAUUUUUAAAUUGUUUAUAUAUAUAUAUAUAUAACAUAGUUUAAAUAAAACAAAUACGAAUGAAUAUAUAAAAAUAUUUUUUUUUUUAACUUUAAGACAUCAUGUUUGUUUCUCAAAAUUAUUAAAAAAUACUGUGAAAAUUUAUCAUAGAAAAUGAGUUAUUGGAUCAACUAAAUUGGUAUUGGAGUUUUUGGAUUCUUAAACUAGUAUUUGAAUUAGGUUAUAUUUGAUUCUCGUAAAAUAUUUGAGAAAAAAACAUAAAAAAUAAAAAAAAAAUCAAAUAUAAUUAAAAUUAAUUAAAAUUUUACAUUUUUUAGAAUUAUUUAAUAUCUACAUAAAAGAAAAAAAAUAGUUAAAUAAAUUUAAAUAAGAUGCAAAAAUGAUUUACCAAUUUUAAAUCUAUGUUUUAUAUUUUUAUUCAAAUUCUUCGAAAAUCAAAUAUAAUCUUAAAAGUAGAAUUAUAUUUUUUAUUUGAAAUGAAGGAAAGUUUAAUAUUAUUAUUAUUAUUAUUAUUAUUAUUAUUAUUAUUAUUAAGCAUUUCUCUUGGAAGAUGCUGAAUAAAAUGUCACAAUUAUUAUUUAAGAAUUUAAAUUAAAUUAUUUUUAAAAUUAUUAACUUAAAAUUUAUUAAUUUAUUUUUAUUUUAAAUAUUAAACCCAUCUUAUAAAGGUGGACAGUUCAUAUAUAUAUGUUAAGCAUUUCUCUUUGAAGAUGCUGAAUAAAAUGUCAUAAUUAUUAUUUAAGAAUUUAAAUUAAAUUAUUAAUUUAAAAUUUAUUACUUCCCUUUUAUUUUAAAUAUUAAACGCAUCUUAAAACUUAACCCGUAUCUUGAACCGGGGGAUCCUAUAAAGGUAGACGGUUCAUACAAAACCGAAAGGUUCUAUUUCCCUUUUUAUAUUUUCACCCCUCUUGGGCCCACCACCAUCCAUUUUUGCCCUUUCUUUUGGCCUUUUUCCUCCUGGGUCCCACCUUGGCAGCCCACUGCCAGCUUUUGGCCUUUUUUUUUUAAUCAUUUUUUAAAAUAAAAAAAAAAAGGUUUAUUACGAUACACUACACAUGCUUCGAAUAAAUAAAAAAUCAAAAUAUUUAUAUUUAAUUCAAAUUUUCCUCGCCCUCACUAAAAUAUAAUAUCCAUUCAAAUCAAAUGUAGAAUUUGGGUAAUCAAAAGUAUUAAUUUAUUUUUAAUUAAAUGUAUUAAGUUUUCCAUAAAAAAAAAAAAGAAAAAAAAAAAGAAGCAAGUGACUACCUCUGUCCCUAUAUGUCAUUUACCUACACUAAAUAUAUUGAUUGUGUUGAUAUUUGUAUCAAAACCAAAUAUUAAUAUAAUAAAAUCAUAAGGCUAAUAAAAUUUGAAUAAAAAUAAUAAAUUUUUAUUUCACUCUUUAAUACAUAAUAUAUCUUCUUAAUAAGCAAAAAUUAUGAUUUUACUAUUUAAUAAAAUAAAAAUUAUUAAUUCAUUUAUAUGUUAUACUUAUCAUGAUUUAUUAUAAUAAUAUGAAAAAUAAAAUAAUAAAGUAUUUUAAGUUUUUAAUUAUUUACAUAUAAUUUUAACUUCUAUUCAAUAUUUUUAUUUUUCGUGGAGCAGCUGGAUUAUUCAACAAUAACUUCUUUAAUUGAUUCUAAUUCUAAAAACAUUAAUAUUUACUAUAAAAGAAAAUUGAGUAAUGAUAUUAUUUUGACUUGGGUGGUGUUUGUUUUUUUGGCUUUUUACUGAAAGCAAUUUAGUUUUAGAAUUUAGAUUGUUUGUUUUUUUAUUUUUUCAUCAUUUAUUAUAAACUUUUUACUAAAUAGAAAAAGUCAAAAUAUGUAACUUUUUUUAAAUAGAAAAAAUAAUAUAUUGGUUUUUUUUACUUUUUAAUAUUUAAUAGAAAUAAAAUACUAUAAAAACAAACAACCUAAUAUUUAACACUAUUAAGUAUUAAGGUUCUAUUUAGAUGAAGUAAAAAAAUAAACACCACCUUAAUGCUCAACUUUAUUUUUAAUUUUAAAAUUGUGACAUUAAGGUGGUAUUUGUUUUUUUACUUAAUUCUAAAUAGAACCUUAAUACUUAAUAGUAUUAAAUAUUAGGUUGUUUGUUUUUGUAGUAUUUUAUUUCUAUUAAGUAUUAAAAAGUAAAAAAAAAUCAUUGUGUUAUUUUUUCUAUUUAGAAAAAGCCACAUAUUUUGGUUUUUUAUAUUUAGUAAAAAGUUUAUAGUAAGUCAUGAAAAAGUAAAAAAACAAACAACCUAAAUUUUAAAACUAAAUGGUUUUCAGAAAAAAGCCAAAAAAACAAACACCACCUAAGUUAUUUUUUAAAUAUAUCUAAUUUACUUGAUUUACCAAAUGUCAUAUUUAUUUAUUUCUUUAUUUAAAAUGAUGUGAGUGUUAAGAGAGUAAAGAUGGGUGUGUUUAACAUUACCCUAAAAAUAAUGAAAACCCAUUACAAGGAGGGCCAUUGAGAAGCAGAAAAUUUUGAUACUCAUAUGGGAGGUGAUAAUGCUAUACAUGUCAUUAUACAUGCAUAAUGAGACAGUAUACCGAUAUUAAAAAAUGAUUGUGGUGUAUCAUAUCCGUCAAUCUUCGGCAAAGCUUUUUUGCCGAAGACAAGGGACAAGAGGGCUGGAGGUGGCAGUGACAAGUAGGCCUUGCAGGUGAGGCGUGGGAUGAAGAGCAGAAUUAGGCUGGAAGAAAACAAAGAGAGUGAGGACACGUUGCUAAUGCCUGGCCUCUGGCUCGACACUGGUAUCAUCCUCGUCAUCCCCGCCCUCACAAACUCGAACUACCACUGCCUGCUACCUGAGAGAUUUAGCCUGCCACUCCACCUCUUCACCCUCCAACAUAUGAUCAGCUUUAAUCGAGCCUUCUUCCCUGUCCUAGUUUUUAUCACCAUUACUUAAUUACUGCAAUUUCCCCUCUGGGAUACAGAAUGGGACCCCAGCAGGAAAAAAACGAACUUCUUUAGUAGUCUUUUGUUGAGAUAUUUAUCCUUAGAGACCGCUGCACAUGUGGUGAAAUUGAAAUAUAAAAGAGGGGUGCAUGCAACCACAAGAAAAAAGUGUAACAAGUGGAGGCAAAUGCAUUGCUUGCUGACAGUACUGAUAUGUGCACACCUAUUGUUGAUACUGUGGGCACCUUCAAGACCGAAGGUGUGAAACAACCACAGUCGCCUGGUAGGGAGAGUUGUAGGAGUCUAUCCCUCUUAAGUGAUAAUGUUGUGUGCCCCUAUCACUUCCUUACUAGAAGCACCAACUAGGCGAUGCACCGCCAUAUAUCCGCUCUUUCUCUUGUCAUCUUCUUUGAAUGGCCUGACAAUGACAAAAACCAUGGUUUAUAUAUCCUUGUUUUCUAAGCCUUGCUUUUGCACCAUCCUUUUUCUUCCUCCAUUAGUUUCCAAACGCGGCGAUUUACUUUUGUGAGGUUUGUUGAUUUUAUAUCUUCAGGGGGGCAUCUGAGAGUGACAGAUUUGAUUCUCUCCCUAUUCACUGCUUCUUAUAAAACUCAUCCUCCUCAAAGAGUACUGUGGGCUUCCAAGAAAAGGAAAUAAACCUCAAAAAUUAAAGAGGUCAGAGAUGGGGAGGGUGAAGCUUCAAAUCAAGAAAAUUGAGAACACAACGAAUAGGCAGGUCACCUUCUCAAAAAGGAGAAAUGGGCUUAUCAAGAAAGCUUAUGAACUUUCUGUUCUCUGUGAUGUUGAUGUGGCUCUCAUCAUGUUUUCCCCAUCUGGAAGAGUCAGUCUCUUCUCUGGAAAUAAGAGGUCUGCUGGAGAUAUGGAUUCACCGCAUCUUCUGCUCUUUUCUUCUCUUCCCAUUUUUAUUUUUUAUUUAAAUAAAUGAUCAUGUCUUCUCAUCCAUAUAUGUUUCAACUAAAUCUAUUUGAUUGUUCAUAAGUGACCUGAUUUGUUUUUUUGAUUUGUUGAAGCAUCGAAGAGAUCAUGACUCGGUAUGUAAAUCUUCCUGAACAUGAACGAGGCCGGUAAGGAUAUAUCUUGGUUCUAGUAAUUUUACAUAGAAAUAUCUUUUUUGUUGUGCUGAUGUUGAUGGCUUUUUCUCUCUCUGAUAUGGAUGUAACUGUGCUUUUACGUGCAACAAAAAAGGCUGCAUAAUCAAGAGGUGAGCACUUCCUACCUAGAUAUUAUCAUUCAGCGGGCUGCCAUACUUUUAGGGCUUGUUGCCAAUUUGUUAGAAAUGAUGAAUUUUUCAUUUUUUUGCAGUUCCUACAAAGGGCUCUUGGUAAGUUGAAAAGUGAAGCUAAUCGAACCUAUCAAGCUGCAGCCAGGUUAAGAUCCUUCCUCUUUGGAAAGCCCCCUGCUUAAUUUCUCAAUUUAUCUUGAUGACUUCAUUCCCAAGUUUUUGUUCAUUUGGGGUUUGUCAAUAAUGUCCACUUUUUGCUAUUUUGCUCGCUUCUUAUGCUUUUACUACUACUAUUUUUUCUUGCUGUUGCGUGGAGCAGCCCGAUGAGUACAGAUUCCCAACUCGAGGUAUUUUAUGCAUGAGAACUGAUUUGAUUUUCAGCUUUUUUCUGUGCUACUAAGACUAAAUUAUUACAUGGAUUACAGGAGAUUCAACAAGAGAUCCUCAAAUAUAAGUCCCAGUUGGAUGAUAUGCAGAAACGACUAAGGUAUACCAUUUCUAUAUUAUUCAUCUACCAGUAGCUAAAACCCUAAACUACAGCAACCUUUAUAGAAGAGAUAGGAAAUCAACAAGCUUCAUACCAUCAUAAUCUCACUCUUUUUAAAGGAUAUUUGAAGGUGAUCCUUCUGAGAUCACCACAGUGAGAGAGGUUGAGUACCGGGAGCAGAUCCUUGAGGAAACCUUGAAACAGGUUCGGUUUCAGAAGGUAAAAUCUACUGCUUAUUCAUAUUCCUCCCCAAGUAAACCCAAUCUUAUAUGCUAGCAACUUACCGAAUUCAUUACAUGCAUAACAGCAAGCUUUGGAGGAAAAGUAUAAUACUACAGAGCCGCAGCCAACUACCCAAGUAUGUAGAGAUUGUCUUCUUAAACUUUUCUUUGUUCAAUCAGUUUGAUAUCUCCCCAGAAAGGGAAGAUAGCUGAUGAAAUGGAUGAAGUGGACGAUUUAGAAAAAAAAAAAAAGCAAUGGCAAUUCUAUUUAUUUCUGUCAAAAAAAAAAUCUGAAGUACUUAACUUGUGGUUGCAAUCAGGUGCAUCUGCCUCCGGAGACUGCAAAUGUAAAUGGUUUUAUCUCAGGAAAUCCAAACAAUAUGUUGGAUUGGCUCCCACCAAGAGACCCACAAGUGCAGAUCCUGAAUUUUUUGGAUUCCAACGGUCUCCUCCCAAUGAGGUGCUUACACAGUUAUACUAGGGAAAAAAAAAAAGAAGUCCUGUUAGCAUUAAUAUGCAUAAGUUCUUUUACCUGACGACAGAAGCCAUAAUUUCUUCCUCCUUAUUUGUUCUUGUUUUCGCAGAGAGCAACCACAGCGCAUGGUUGAAAUCUUACCGCCAUCUUCAACCCUCCUUCCAGGACAAAACAUUCAUCUUGAGGAUCACAUGAGCCCGAGCAGCGGGAUGGAGGAAGAUAAUAAUGUGCAGCGUCCUCAGUUUGGCCCAGCUAUCGAUGUAAACCUUUCUCCGUGGGCUGAAUUUUAUCCGACAGCAGGUACUUCACUAACAUCGUCUGUUCUUUGAAAUAAGUUUUCAUUUCACGUAACUAAAUUGCAUCAAACACCAGCUCUCUUUGCCCAUCAGAUUCAUCCUGUCAACGAAAAUGGUGCAAAUGAAAGUAUAAAACCCUAGGUGAAGCAACACAUCCUUCGGAGGGUCUCAAUAGGGCUAUUACGGAAAGCUGUAGUUUUGCAUAUUGAGUAGAAGUUCCUUUGAUAGUAAAGUCCAGACAGUAAUCAUGGACUUAAUUUACCUCUUCGCAACAUGGUAGAGUUGAAUUUGGGAGUCCUAGUUAAGCGAUUUUACAAAUAAAUUGUGACAAGUCAGAUAUGUUGGCAGGGAAUGGCUCCUAUCCUGCAGCACAGCCCCGGGGACCGGCACUACUUGAACUGUUUCUGUCUCAGUUCACACCAUGAAUCAUCAACAUAUCCAUCCAUGGUACACAGAUAUCACGUGUGAUGUUUAUACUUUGUUUUUGCCUUUACUGGCGGUGGUAUUGUUAUGUCUCUAUCUAUACCUUGUUGAGUGUUUAGAAAUAGUAAGGUAACUUAAAUGAUUGUUUUUUUACCCUCCUAUAAUCUUAUAAGAAAUUUAUUUAAUAUUACUAGUAGUUGUUUCUAUUUAUAUGGAUAAAUUUGAUCAUCUCAUGCAUCAUACACAUGGAAUACAUAUACAUAAUCUUCUGUCAUAUACUUCCACGUAUCACAGGAGGUUGAAAUUCCCAUUGGGAAAGGGUACUGGAAAGGCUUAGCUGAGGCCAUGAAGAUCUAUUCAAAUUAAUCAAACCUAUGGUCCCCGUCACGUAUAUAUAAUAUAAAAGAUGAAGGUUUAUAUACGUGGGAUUCAUCAAUCUUAAUUUGAAUAGUCUCUCUUUCGGGUUGACCCAAUGAUGUAUCCUCGGACCUCAGCCAUUUUAUGGGGUCUUCCCACUCAUUUAGUUGGAUGCAAUUAAGUCUUCCACACCUUUGAAGCCAUUGCCUGCCCACCUGGGAUUCAUCAAUCUUAAUUUGAAUAGUCUCACUUUCGGGUUGACCCGAUGAUGUAUCCUCAGAUAUUUUAUGCAGUUGGAUGCAAUUAAGUCUUCCACACCUUUGAAGUCAAUGCCUGCCCCAAUUAUGAAACAAUAUUAAAGAUGAUUUUUAAUAAGGUUAAAGGUCAUCACAUCCGUUAGCAAUGGCGGUGGGUGCCCUUAAAUUUUAUUUAUCCAAGUAGCUUGGUGUUCAAAAGUCAGAAAAGAAGAAUAGCCACUGCGACUCAGCUAAAGUGUGAUAGUGAAUUCACAAGUUGCGAUGUUGACUCAAUCAAUUUCCAUACAUAAAGCAUUGCUUUCAUCCGUUUUAAAUUUAUGGUUAAUAUUUUCACAAAUUUUAAAUUUUAUAUAUAAUUUUAGCGAAAAUCAGAAAAAUCGUACACCAAUCAACAUGAUCAUGUAAUAUAUUCAAUGGUCUUUCUUGGCAUAUUGGAUACACAAAGUUGAGUUAAUGAAACAAUUCGAUGGAUUGGACCCAUUCAAUUAAAUACACUCCUGGAAUUCGGGAAGACCAGAAAGUGUUGAAAAUGUAAUUUUUAUAGUCAUCACCAAAUUCCAGUGGUGGAAACACACACUUUGAUUCCGCGUCAAGUCAUGUCAUCGAUGCAGUAAAUGCCUCCAGUAAAUCAAUCUUCUGUCGCGAUGUUUUCUCAGAUGUACAUGAACACAUCCCCACUAUUCAAAGUCUUGAGCGUGGGAGGCUUUGGAAGAUGUCCAUUUUCCCCAGCAGCCAUGGAAGAUAGUAAAAUAUUUGUCAGUCACAUCUUUCCCUUGGCUCUGAUAGUGCAUUAUCUCUUCUGUUUUUGUAGUCUGAAUGAAACCAGAAUACAUGGGUUUCGUUUUAAUGCUUCAUUAUGAGGUCACUGACGACAAGGCGGACAUCGACCUUCAACUCUCUGGUCCUUGGAUUAUGAGGCACCAUAAGUCCGGCCAUGUUGGCAAUCUUUGCUUCCCUCAACAAGAGAACCAAUUUAAAGGUACCAUUCCUAAAUCCUAAUCAAAUGGGUGCGCUUUUCCACUUGAGCUCUAACCACAUCAAAGCUGCAACACCACUGAACAUAACUAUGUGUUCAGAGCUCAAGAUUCAUGCCUUGACAGGAAAUGAAAUCUCUAGAGCAAUUCCUAUCCGGAGCUCGGCAGUCUCAAAAAAUUUGGAAGAUACCUUUCAUCUCUCAUCACAUUAAGUUUAAGCACUAAUAAUCUGGGUGGCAGUAUACCUGGUGAUUAAUUUGGGUCGUCUUCAGAAUUUGAGGCAACUUCAUUUCACCAUUAAUCAUCUACAGCAUUUCUUCGUUGGUGCGUUUGGCUUUGGCAACCACAGCCCAUGAGUCUCCUGGAAAAAGAGGAGAGUGAAUAGGAAGAAAAAAAAAAGUGGCACGCAUUUAAAAAAUAAAAUGUAAUUAUAACUUAUAUCUUUGAUGAAUAUCUUUAAAAAUAAUAUAUUCGUACUAUAAUAAUUAUUUAUUUUAUUUACUGAGUAGUUAUUUCAUUUUUAAAAUGUAAAAAUUAAGUUGAAGGAUACAUAUUGAGUGUGGAUUUUAAUUUUUUUGUGUUUUUCUUCUUUUUUCUAUUCCCUAUUACCUGUUACUUAUUUCUAUUUUUUUUUUCUUUCAAUUUAUAUUUUUAUUUUAUAUCAAAUAAAAAGUAAUAAUGUUUUUUUGUUUCAUUUUUAAAAAUAUUGAACCUUUUUACUCUUAUUAUAAGCAAGGAUAAAAAAUUUGAGAUUUUUCAUCCAAAUAUUUUUUAUCUUUUAGUAUUUAUCUUUUAGUUUAAUUUUCAUUUUAUUUUAAAUUUAUAUUACCUUUUCAUUUAUAUUUUUCUCUUAUUCUUAAUUAUUUUUUAUAUUUUCCACAUUAGCCAUAUUUAAAUGUUUAUAUAUAUAUAUAUAUCUAUAUCCUUUUAGCUUUUUAAUUUUUAAUGUUUUUAUUUUAAAGAGAUAAAUUUAUUGAAAAAUAACUAAGAUAUGAAGUUCUAAUAUUAUAUUAAUAAUUUUUCUCAUCUAGAUAAAUUAAUGCAAAGUAUUUUGACUCACAACAAGAAAAUUGUCAAUACAAAUUUUUAGUGAAACUUUAGAAAUUAAAUUUCAAAUAAAAUAUGUUAUAUAAAAUUUUAUCUAAAAAUUAUUGAAAGUGAUAUUUAAAUUUUUUUAUUGACUUUCAAACUUAUUUUAUUUUUUACUUAAAAAGUAAUAGAACAUGUUUACAAAAAAAAUAGUUUUUCAUUUUUUAAAUAAAUGAGUACAAAUAUAUUAAAAGAAUUAAAGAUAAUCUUAGUAAAAAAAUUUGAGAAAUAUGAUUAUAAUUUUAAAUAUAGAUUCAUGUGGAUAAAAUUUCACAAAAAAAAAAUAGUAGAAAGAAAGAACAUUGCUAAAACUACAAAAAUAAAAUAUACAAUUACAAAAUUUUGAUGAUGAAAUUAAAAAAUAAAAUUCAAAAUAAUUCUUGAGUGAGAAUUUAAGUAGGGAAAAAUCCUUCAGUGGAAAAAAUGAGAAAGUUUUUCAAAAUCACUUGAAAUUCUUAACAAAAAGUAUUCUUAUACUCUCUUGUACAAUUAGUAAAUUUGUCUUAUACAGCUAGUGUAAUACCCUUGUACAAUAACUCAAAUUUCAUACAUCAUCUCAUGAAUAUCUGACAAUAGGUUGGUUAACCAUGUUUGGUUUAGUUUUAAAAAAGAAGAAAAGUUGUUAUAUAAUUUUGUUUUACAAUCAUCAUAUGUGAGGUACCUAUUCAAAUGACCAUAUACAAGUUAGAUAAAGUGCAUGAGAUGAAUAUAUGUUUAACCAAUGUGUGUAAGGAAUGUCAUUCAUCAUUGGUUAAGGGAAAUAAACAAAUAAGUUUUUCAGAAUCACUUAAAAUCCUUCACAAAUGAUAGUCUUGUAUACCCUUGUACAGUUAGUAUAUUUGUCAUGUACACUUAGUAUAAAUACCUUGUAUAGUAACCCAAAUUCUAUAUAGUACCCCUACUCAAUGUGUAACCAUAGAUAGGUUAACCAUGUUUUCAUUGGUUUGGUUCAAAAAAUAGUAGAAAAUGAAAAAACAAAAUAUUCUCUCAAACAUCAUUAGUGGGAUAAAUAUUUGAAUUGUCAUGUGCGAAUUAAGUCAAGUGCAUAAGAUGAGUGUGUGAUAGAGAAAUGUAUACCUUGAGAGUGUGCAAUCCUUAUAUGACAAGACAAAAAAAAAAGUUAUCCAAAAUUGAUUGAAAUAUUUCACAAAUGAUAGUCUUGUAUACCCUUUGUAUAAUUAGAAUAUUUAUAUUAUACAGUUAGAAUAUUUAUCUUGUCCAAUUGAACAUUUACCUUAUACAGUUAGUGUAACACCCUUGUACAAUGGUACAAUUUCAUCCACAUGCAUAUAUUAUGUGCCCACAUAUGAUGUAUGAACCAUAUUUCCAAUGGUUUGAUUUAGAAAAUGAUAUAAAACGUAAAAACAAAUUUUUUUCCCUAAACAUCAUUAUUAGGAUAAGUAUUUGAAUUGUCAUAUACGAGUUAAAUAAAAUACAUGAAAUGAAAGAAUUUGUAGUAGGAAAACGUAUAAUCCUUAAAUGACAAAAAAAAAAAAAAAAAAGUUGUUCAAAAUGUACAAUCUUGUACACCCUUGUACAAUUAGUAUAAUAGUAUUGUAUAACAGUAUAAAUUUCAUACAUAUACAUAAAGUAUGUCCAUGUGAGUGUGUAAAACUAUAUUCUCAAUAGUUUGACAUUUAAAAUAAUUAAAAUAAAUAAAACGGGUUAUUUUAUUUUAUUUUCAAUGCAAAAUGUAAUUAAAAAUUAAACAAAUAAAUUACUUAAAAACUAUUAUUUAAGCCAAAUUUAUUUAUUUAUUUCCUUUUAUAUUUUGGAAAUAAAGAAAAAAAUAAUAAAAAUUUAUUAAACCAUAAGAAAUAUAAAUAUAAGAUCUGUUAGAAAAUACCAAAUUUAUUUAUUUAUUUCAUUUUAUUUUUGGAAUUAAAGAAAAUAAUAAUAAUAAAUUUAUUUAACCCUAAAAAAAUAUUAAUAUAGGAUAUGUUAAAAAAUAGAACUAAGCCCAAAUUUAUUUACUUAUUUAAUUUUAUUUAGUUAAAUUAGAAAUUAAUUUAUUUUAAUAGAUCAAAAUGUGCACAAUUAAUCUAUUACUUUGUUAAUUAUAGAUAUAUUAAAAUCUUCUAUUAGACAAAAAAUAAAUAAAGAAAAUAAAAUUAAAAAGAAUGAUAAAUAUAUAUAAUUUAGUUAUUUAAUUAUUUUUCAUGUAAAAGAUAGUCACACAAAAAACAUAUAUAAUUGAUCAAUUCUUUUGUUUGAUUGUAAACAUACUAUAUAUAUAUAUUUUUUUUUUAUUAAAAUAAUUAAUGGAAAAAAUAGAAAUGGAUAAUAAUAAAAUUUAAUUCUUUUUAUUAUUUUCAUAUAAAAAAUAGUAGUAAACAAGGUUUUCAAUUUUUAUUUUUAAAAAUAGUUUUUAUUUUUUAAUUAAAUUUUUUUUCAAAAAAAAUAUAAAAAUUAAAAAUCAUAUUACCAUUUUUUUUUUAGAAAGAAUUUUUUUUAAAAUAGUUUUUGAAGGUACUUUUUUUUUAUUUAUAAUUUAAAAUAGAAAAUAAUCUGAUUUUCAAUUAUUUAUAAUAAAAAGUUUUAAAAAAACAAUGAAAAUUUUAAAUAAUUAAAAUAAAAUUAUUAUGGUUGGGAAACGGUGGUGCAAUAAAAAAAAAAAAAAGAAAGAUCAACGGAUAUUCUAGUCCACCACUUUUAUAUCCGCAAAAUAAAUUAGAGUUAAUACUAUAUUGUCUCUUAAUGUAGGGACUUGCCGUGUGGCUCAGAAUCAUCAUUUGCGUGCUCUUUCUACAAUAACGGCAAUGACAUCGCAUGCAUUCAUGAAAGUGAGACCGAGUAUGAGGUCUGACAGAAACGUGAUCAACCCAAGUUCAUUUGUGGAAAAACUCAGUUCCUUGGUGGGGAGGUAGGUCGACCUUAAAGUCUACCUAUGAGUAUGAUCCCACUACGUGGCCUUCAUCACUGUGAUUUGGGCAGAUGCAAUAUUGAUGUAGAGAACCAACUUCUUCUCACUUUUAAUUUGUUGUUGUGGAUGGAACUAAUGUUUAUACUUUUGAUAUGUGUAUUCCGUUUAGAUGGAGGGCAAGCUCAACCAAAAUUGUAUGUGAGAAGAACUUGUUAUUUCUAGAGCUGGAGCCGUGGCGAGAGAUUGCAUAUGAAAAAGGUUCAAUUUGUUGUCAAUUCAUCCAAGUGCCGUUGGCGCUCAAAUUAUGGACUUACCGGGUAGACGACUUCCAAUUGUGGAGGCAAAGUCUUCCAUGCUGACCCAGUCCUGAUUUGGAAAGCCUUCAGCAUAAGAUGAGGCUGAAGUCGUUGAAAAUUUCUAUUGCGUACCAUGGAAAAUCUGUUUGCUUUUCAGAUUUAUUACAUAUACGUGAUCGCUUUUAUAUAUAUAUAUAUAUAUAUAUACGAGUAGGGGAAUAUGUAGUGCUUCAUCAAAAUCACAUCUUUUCCUCCCCUCCACCCCUGCAUCUUCUCCUCUUCCAAACUAAAUGAAACCAGCAUACAUGGGUUUCAUUUUAAUUCUUCACUAUGCUGUUUUUGCCGUUCUUCUGUCCUCCCUAAGCUCGUUUCGUAUUGUGUGUUCAGCUUCCUUGAGCAUUAACACCGACAAGGAGGCAUUGCUUUCAUUUAAAUAUCAUUUGAGCAGCGAAUCCUCGGAGACUCUUUCUUCAUGGAAUGUUAACAACUCCAGCCCAUGUAACUGGACUGGUGUUUUAUGCAAUGAGUCCAGGGAUAGGGUCAUUGGCCUUGAUCUCUCAGGCUUUGGGCUAACAGGCACCAUAAGCCCGCAUAUUGGGAAUCUCUCCUUCCUUAGCUCUCUUGAGUUACAGGAUAACCAAUUGACAGGAACCAUUCCUGAUCAGGUUGGUGACCUUUCCCGCUUGAGCGUCUUGAACAUGAGCUCUAACCACAUCAGAGGUGCGAUACCACUCAACAUAACUAUGUGUUUAGAGCUCGAGAUCCUUGACUUGAAGGAAAAUGAAAUCUCGGGUACAAUUCCUGCAGAGCUCGGCCGUCUCAGAAAUUUGGAAAUCCUCAAACUGGGUAGCAAUCAGCUUGUUGGUGAUAUUCCGCCUUCUAUCAGCAACCUUUCCUCACUGGACACGCUAAGUUUGGGCACCAACAAUUUGGGUGGCAGGAUUCCUGAUGAUUUGGGUCGCCUUCAGAAUUUGAAAGAACUCGAUCUAACCAUUAAUCAGCUGGAGGGCACUGUCCCUUCAUCCAUAUACAACAUCACUUCGCUGGUUAAUUUGGCUGUGGCGUCCAACAACCUCUGGGGCGAAAUUCCUAGUGAUGUUGGAGAUAGGCUUCCAAACCUUCUCAUCUUCAAUUUCUGCAUCAAUAAAUUCACUGGUGGAAUUCCUGGAUCUUUGCACAAUCUCACCAACAUUAAUGUCAUUCGGAUGGCACACAACCUUUUGGAAGGAUCAGUGCCAUCAGGUCUGGGGAAUCUUCCGCAGCUGCGUAUGUACAAUAUUGGGUACAAUCGGAUUAAAAGCUCAGGUGAUCAGGGUCUCGAUUUCAUUACUUCUUUGACAAACAGUACCCAUCUUAACUUCCUUGCCAUUGAUGGCAAUUUUCUGGAGGGUGUGAUUCCAGAAUCUAUUGGUAAUCUUUCUACUUCUCUCGCAAGUUUACAUAUGGGUCAGAACAAGAUCUACGGUAGUAUACCACCCUCAAUCAGUCAUCUUAGCAGCUUGGCUUUGCUUAAUUUGAGCCAUAAUCUUAUUUCUGGUGAAAUCCCACCAGAAAUUGGUGAACUUGGGGAGAUGCAGGAAUUGUAUUUGGCUUCCAAUAAUAUCUCCGGCAGAAUUCCAAGCUCCCUUGGCAAUCUCCGACAAUUGAGUCAGCUUGAUUUAUCUAGCAAUAGAUUGGUGGGAGGAAUACCCACAAAUUUUUCUAACUUCCAGAGAUUGCUCUCAAUGGAUCUAUCCAAUAACAGGCUCAAUGAAAGCAUACCCAAGGAGAUUCUCGGCCUUCCCGGUUUGAGCACUCUGCUGAAUCUAUCCAAGAACUCUCUGACUGGACCCUUGCCUCAAGAAGUUGAAGCACUCGAAAGUGUUGUCACAAUUGACCUCUCUCACAACCAUUUAUCUGGAAGCAUUCCCGAAUCCAUUAGCAAAUGUAAGAGCUUAGAGGAAUUGUUCAUGGCAAACAACAAAUUCUCAGGUUCUAUUCCAGAUACUCUGGGGGAAGUGAGGGGCUUGGAAAUACUUGACCUCUCUACAAACCAACUCACUGGCUCAAUACCCAGCAGUCUCCAAGAACUUCAGGCCCUUCAAUUGCUAAACCUCUCUUUCAACAACCUAGAAGGAGUUGUUCCCAGCGAGGGAGUCUUUAAAAAUCUCUCCCGUGUUCAUAUUGAAGGAAACUCAAAGCUUUGCUUGAAUUUGGCCUGUACGAAAGGCCAUGGAAGAAGAUUUGCUGUCUUUCAUAUUAUACUUAUAAUCGCUUCAGCGAUAGCAAUAUGCUUGGCAGUCGGUGUGUUAGCCUAUCUAAAGAAAAGCAAAGCAAAGAAAUUGCCGAUCACGUCGGACUCAUUUAAAGUGCUGCACCAAGUGGUCUCUUAUGAUGAUCUACGCAUGGCAACUGGGAAUUUCAACCAGCAAAAUCUGAUCGGGAAAGGGAGCUUCGGGUCAGUUUACAAAGGGUAUCUUACAGAAGGUACUGCAGUCGCAAUCAAGGUGCUUGACAUCCAAAGAAAUGGAUCAUGGAAGAGUUUCUUCGCCGAGUGUGAGGCUUUGAGGACCGUAAGGCACCGGAAUCUUGUGAAGCUGAUCACCUCAUGCUCCAGUUUGGACUUUAAGAAUGUAGAAUUUCUGGCUCUGAUUUAUGAUUUCAUGCACAAUGGGAGCUUGGAAGACUGGAUCAAGGGAACGAGAAGGCACGCAAGUGGAUGUGCGCUGAAUCUCGUAGAGAGAUUGAAGAUAGCCAUUGACGUUGCUUGCGCCAUGGAUUACCUGCACCAUGACUCUGAAACUCCCAUCGCCCACUGUGAUCUGAAGCCAAGCAACGUGCUGUUGGACAAAGACAUGACCGCCAAGGUAGGGGACUUCGGGUUGGCCAGGUUACUGAUGGACAGAGCGGCCGAUCAACAGUCAAUAGCCUCCACACACGGUCUCAGGGGUUCCAUAGGCUACAUACCUCCAGGUUAGCAGUAACAACUGACACACCUGAUCUUUUUAUUGUACACUAAUAGUCAUAUCGCCUGAGUUCAACACUGUCCACAAAAUUGGUCGAUGCAGAGUACGGACUGGGAGGGAAACCAACAACAUCCGGAGAUGUGUACAGCUAUGGAGUUAUGUUGUUAGAGAUGUUUACAGGGAAAAGCCCAACCCAUGAGAGUUUCCUCGGGGGACUGACCUUAGCCCAGUGGGUUCAAUCAGCUUUCCCAACAAACGUAAGGCAAGUGGUGGACCCUGAGCUGCUGCUUCCCACCGGAGCUCUUCAACAUGAAGGACACCCAAUAAGCGAGGAAGUGCAGCACGAAUGUCUGAUUGCUGUCAUUGGGGUUGCGCUAUCUUGCACCGUGGACUCUUCAGAUAGACGCAUCAGCUCCAGAGAUGCUCUCUCCCAACUCAAAACUGCUGCCAAGGCCCUUCUCAAACCUACCCUCGAUGAUAUGGAGGAAGGAGCUUCACCCCAUUGUGUUGUUGAUGUUUAGUACUUUACUUGCCCAUCUCUUAUGCUCAACUUACAAGUGCGUGGGUAUAUAUAUAUAUAUAUAUAUAUAUAUAUAUCAUUGUGUGUAAAAACUAGAAACGAUACUAUAAUGUGUCUUUAUAUACGGAAAUCCAGAAAUUAAGAAUAUUUUUCUUACCAUUUCGGACAAUCCAUUAGGUUUUUAACAUUUUACCAUUUGAGUAGAAUUUAAGGCCAGUCAGGCCCAAAAAAUGGUAGGCUUAAAAACUUCGGUUUCAUUGGGCGUAUUUCCAUGGGCCAGGGCAAGGCAGGCCAAUAGAUUGUAAUUAAUUUUAAAUUUAUAUAAUAACUCAUUUAAUUAUCAAAUUUUUUAAAAUUAAGUAUAUUUAUAUAUUGAAUAGUAACAUAUCAAAUACAUAUUUUAAUUCAUUUGUUCAAAUUAAUUUUCAUAAAUUAAAAGCAUUUAAAUAUAUUCUUUAAUUAUUUUUUAAAUGAGGGCACAUGAUUUAAAAUUAAAUCAUACAAAAUUUGUGAGGCUCUAACCUAUAGAAAAGUAAAUUAAUUAAUAACACUUUUAUAUUUAUUUUAUUUUAUUUAAAAAUAAUAUAAUCACCUUUCCAAUUAAAAGAUUGGACAGAUAUUAAGAAUAUCAUCUUCUUAGUGAUUAAUCUAAGUUUUAUUCUAAUAAUUGAAGUCUUUAACAGUUUUUCUCACAUGAUGAGUUCUAAAUCUCUUUCAAUUUUUCAAUAUCAAGACACAACCUUUAUCAAAAAAUGAUAUUAAAAUGAGAAUUAUUCUAAAAAAUAACAUUAAAAUAUUGAAAAUUUUCGUGCUUAUUUCUUUUACCAUUAGUAAAUAGUUGCAACUGAAGUUGCUGACUCCAACAGAUUUGGCCAGGCCCAAUCUGCAGCACUCUUUCAUGGCCUCCCAUGUCCCUUUUCAUGUCCAAUGGAACAACAUCCUCCCCCGCGAAAUCCUUUGUCUGGAGCUUCGUUCCUCAGCCUCACAGGCCAAUGCACCAGAUAAAGAUCCACAUACUCCAUUCCCAGCUUACUUCAUGUAUAAUUACAUGUUCAGAAAACAAAAACCAAUACAUGUCAGUAUAACAAACUCGAAUUCAACUACUAAUUUCAAUAAAUUCAGCUAAAAUGUUAAUAGUUGAUUACUGGAAGAACGAGGUCAGGGCGGUUGUCCUUGCACCGUAGCUUUGAAGUGAUGAACACUUCACUUCGACCCUUAAUGAGGCCUCUGGCCACAGCCUCUGCCACAGCUCGGCCUAGAGGCUCUUCGGAAGCAUAGUGAGCAGCAGUGUCAAAAUGGCGGUAGCCCACCUCAAUGGCAUCCACAAGGAUGGAGGUGAGCCGGUGAGGUUGUGGGAAGGGAGAAGUUGCUGUUCCCAUGCCUAUCAAAGGCAUUUCCAGCCCAGAGCGCAGCAACACUCCUGGGAUUUGGUUUCUGAGCUCCAUCCUUGUGGGCCAAAGAUAUAGAUAGAAGAGGAGCAGAGGGUGGGUCUCUGACUCUCUGUUGAUUUUCCUAGUAUAUAUAACUUACGAGUUAGGAGUAUGCUUUUCUGUACCGCAGAGUGUGGAUAAGCCAAUGCUAUGCUGCCAUAUUUAUACCAAAUCCAAAAGAAUCACCCCUUCAGCUUCAUGCAUGACCAUAGAGAGCCUAAGACCGACAGUUGAUCUGGUGUUCCACUCUUGGGCCUAUGUACUGGUUAAUGAGCUAGGCCAUAGCUUUAUGGAGUUAGGAAACAAUAGGGUUAAUGUGGGGACAUUCAGCAUCCUUCUGCCAUCUUCAAUCAAAGCUUGAGCAUGUUUGUUGGCAUAUGGAAAAAAGUAGCUCGGUUGAUGUUACUAAGGUCUAAGGGUAGAUUUGUGCAUUGACUCUGGCCUAUCUGACCCUGUAAGGCUGUAAGCCUGUAACUGAUGCCUUGCUAUUAUUGCUCCUCUACUCAUGUUUCUGACCUCUUCCUUGCAGACUUCUCCGCUUCCAGCUAAAUGAUUUAUGAGGAUGGAGUGUUGAUGGAGGAAAGGCAUAACAAGUGAUAAGUGACAACUAUUACAACACUCAGGUUAAUAACAUCAACUUAGAUGAACUUGAUUACUGCUUCUAUUAGCGAUGCCUAAAAAAUUAAUUGAAUUGAUAAAACCAAUUGAACCCUAAAAGCGAAUCUCAAAGAUGGACUAUAAGUAGAGGGGGUGAAUAGGUGUUCUUAAACAAUUUAAAAAAGUCUUCCAACACAAUUUAUUUAAUCUUAGAAAUUUUUACAAUUCUCUUCUUUUCUCUGCAAACACUUCUCAAUAUAAAGCAAAGAUCACAUACAAAUAUAAAUGUAGCAACACUCCCCCAACAGAUUUCAAAUGCAAGUUACAAGCAAAUACAGUAACACUCCCCAAAAUUAAUCAUACAACCAAUUCUCUCCUUAACUCAUUUCUAAUUACUAUAAGAUAUCAUUAAUCAAAAUAAACAGAAAAAUUAUUCAAAAUAUCUAAUGAAUAUUCACAUCUAUUUCAACUCAUCUUUCUUCUAUUCAAUAUAUAUGCACAAAUAACCAAUUAUAUCAAAAACUAAAGAUUAAUCAAAAAGUAAAAUAAGAAAAAGAGACAAGGACACCAUAUUUUAAUGUGAAAAACCUUAAAACACAUAAAAAAUCACAGGCCUACAACUGAUCGAAAACGUCUACUAUGAAGAACAAAAACUAAACACAAAGUUUUGUCUAGUUCAAGCUUACCAAUCCUUCUCGGUUGACCAACGUCUUUCCACUUUCAGCUUCGCACCUUCUUCUUUCAGAGCAUACUUAGAGUCCACACUAAGCUCGAUCUUAGCCUCUUCUUAAAUCCACACAAGAAGAAAAUAAAUUUUUACCCAAACCUAAUAAUUUCAUAAUUGAAAAAAUCGAGUUAAAAGACACUUAAAUAUUUUGUCCAAAAUUACCAACUUAGUUUAACACUCACAAACCCAUAAUCAAAAUUUAAAAUUUCUUUUAAUAAUCUUGAUUUUUUAAAUAGUAAACAUAAAACCAAAAUAGAUCCAAUGGGUCUACAAUUUCAUUUUUUUAAAUUGAUAAUAAAUCCAACCAAACUGAAAAUUAUACCUAUAACUAUAUAUAGUAUCUAUCAAAUACAUUAUCAAUUUAGCACAUUAUUUUUUCAUAAUUGUUUACAUUAUUGGUUUUUUUUUUAUGAUUGGACUACCUAGAAUACAUAGUAUGUAUUGAUUACAUUGUCAAUUUAGGAAAUAUUUUUUCAUAAUUGAUUACAUCAUUACCAAUGGCCGAUAUAUCAACAAUUUCACCGAUUUUUUGCCAAAAUUCUGUUCAACCAAUAAUCGGUGACUAAUUUCAUAUCGACCAUUGACCACCACCGAUAUCCGAAAUUACGCUGAUAUUUCAACGAAAUCCAUGGUCGUUUGAUGGUGGAAGAAAUCGCAGGGAUUUCUACUAAAGAUCAAGAUGAUCUCCAAAUAGAUAAUGAGAGUGUACUGAUAAUUUGUUCUCAUUUUCAGCAUGUCAUGCAUCAUCAUCCCAAAGCUCCUCCGAGGAUUUAUAAAUUCCAUCAUGAUGAACAAACAUUUGCCCAGAAAAACCCCUGCGCUGUGGGAUCUGCUCAAUCUUUGCGAGCUCAUCAUCACUGAGUUCCCAGUCAAAGAUUUGAAGAUUUUCCUUCAUUCUCUCCUUAUUGAAGCUCUUAACUAAAAUACUCACCCCUUGUUGGUGCAACCAUCUCAAUGCAACCUGCACUUCUCCAACAUUUGUUUGUAUUAACAAAUCCGAAAAUAGAAUAUUUUUAAUAAUAAAUUUAAGGUAGCAUCGAUUGCUAUGAAAAAUAAUUGAAAACACAGUGAAUGUAACGAAAAGUUCUGGAAUGUGUAUAAAUAUAUAAUACUUUUAAGGAAAAAAAAAUAUGUUAAAAAACUAUUUUUUACAUUUGAGUUCCCCAUCGCAUAGAAUUACAAAUUCUAAUCGCUUGGGAUAAGGAAACAGAACAUGUGUACACUACAAAAAGCCAUGGAAUUCCCUAGUAGCAUAUUUUUACUCCGUGGGACGUCCUUCCAAUCACUUGGGAUAAGAAAACAGAAGGUGUGGGCAUUACAAAAAGUUUAUUGGAUGGAAGUUAUAGAUCCAUAAGGUUUGAUAUAGACUUUUACAAAAAAAAAAAAAAAAAAAUUGUAGUUAUGCUAUUUUAAAGGUUGAAAAUCAUUUGGAAAAAUUUUAUUUGUACAAAAAAGGAGAAGUCACACUAAUUUUAAGCAUUUUAAAAAUAAUUUUUUAUUUCUUCAUGAAAUCAAAUAUGAAAAUUCUUAGUAGUGGUACUGUAUACUUUAUAUAAUAUAAAAGUUUUUAAAGCAUUCUCUAUCUUUUCAAUUCUUAUUAGAAAAACUAAAAGCUUGUCAAAAUUAUUUUAAAACAAAACCUAAUUUUUAGGACAAAUUCUUAAGAAAUCAAAAGUUUUUCACAUCUCUUGUAAGUUAAAAAACAGUUACUGAACAGCCGAAAACUUCCACUCGUAUUAAAAGUUGAAGGAUGAUAUAAGUUGCUUGUGUCUUGGGCUUUUUCUUAUGUUAAACGAAUGUUUUUUUGUAGGGUAGGCCAGUGUGUUUCAGGAGUCAUUCAUCAUUGAAGCUGCUUCCAUAGAAAACGAAAAGCAAUCAAAGUAUUGUCUCCAGUUCAUGGUUUUAGAAAGAGUUUAUGUAGAUUUGUAAGUACCUGUGCCAAGCUCUUCCCUUUUGCAGCAGAGAUUUCUUUGAGAAGUGGAUUCUCAACCACUGCAAGUGAGCCCCACAUGGCUCCAUUUGCUCCCAAUGGAGACCAUGCACUCACAUGAAUCCCCUUCUCUCUGCAAAACUCUCUCAGUUUCACCUGUUGCCAUACUGCGUUCAUUUCCACCUGAAACAACAUUCAGUUUCAUCAAGCCAUGAACUACCUCUGCCAAUUAUAUUUAUGCCACAGAACACGCCUGUUUGUAAACCUGAUUAACAGCAGGAGGGAUGGUAGCAUAUUGGAGAAGCUGAGAGAGCUUUUUGCUACUGAAGUUGCUUACGCCAAUAGACUUGGCUAGGCCCAAUCUGCAGCACUCUUCCAUGGCUUCCCAUGUCCCUUUCAUGUCCCAGCUGGGGAAGAUAUCCUCCUUUGCAAACUCAAAGCUUGCAGCUUCUUUCUUCAACCUCAAAGGAAAAUGCACCAGAUAAAGAUCCACAUACUCCAUUCCCAGCUUCCUUCAUAUUCACAAACAACAACCAUACAUAUAACAAACCUUAUACACUAUCAAUUUCAAUAAUGCAACUGAAAUGUCAACAGUUAAUUACUGGAGUGUGUUGUUGAGGGCUGGGAGAACCAGGUCAUGGUGGUUGCAGUUGCACCAUAGCUUUGAAGUGAUGAACACUUCAUCACGACUCUUGAUGAGGCCUCUCUCUAUAGAUUCUGCAACAGCUUGGCCAAGAGAUUCUUCUGAGCCAUAGGAGGCAGCAGUGUCAAAAUGGCGGUAGCCUACCUUAAUGGCAUCAACAAGAAUGGAGGUGAGAUGAUGAUGCGGUGGCUGGGGCACGGCACUUGUUCCCAUGCCAAUUAAUGGCAUCUUUUGGCCAGAGUUCAGUAACACUUCUGGGAUUUGCUCUGUUCCCAUCUCUGUGAAGCUCUAAGUUAAGGAUAUAUGAGACUUGAGGAGCAACUUUACGUAUUUAUAGUGCCUAUAUUAGUUGAGCAAUAAGAAAGCCAUCAGAGAACCAUACCACUUUGAUUAAAAACUUUAAUUAAUUAAUCAGUGAAUCAGAUGAUAAUGAGAAUGAGAUUAAUAAAAUAAUUGAAUCAAGCAUCAUCUAUGUAAAUUUCACCAUGUUUGGAGUUCAAAACUUUUUUAACAGAAAAGAAUUUAAUUAAAGAAAAUGUAUUUAUGAGACCUGAAAUGAACCAUAUGUUUGGUUCAGUUUAUGUGGACAAAGACUUGUUGGGGCCAUGGCAAUCUCAAUUUGCUCCUCUCACUGAUCUGGGUGCAUUUCUGGCCCUACAAUAGCACCAUGUACCUAGGUUUUUGGACAACAUGAUGAUCCACUUGGCUAAUUCAAUAAGUUCUAUAUAGGAUAAAAGAGAGUGAACAGAAAAAGUGAAUUUUGGUGGGUGAUUGGAGAAAGAAUUAGUGGAACAAAUAGAGAAAAGAAUACGAAGAGAUAACUUUGAAAGGACAAUGAUCACCUCUGAAAUGGUAUUCACAAAGAUCAUUCAAAUCUUCUUGAAGCAAUAUAAGAAGAAACAAAUUCAAUUUUCUCUCUUGUUUACUACUUACUACGGCGACGAAGAAUCAAAUUAUCACUAUAUUUAUUCCUUUUUCUACUUCUUAUUUCCAAGUGCAGGAUAACCCUAAGGGGUUGUAGGUUUUUUUCUUCCAAGUGAAGGAUAACCCCCAUGGGAAUGGUCUAUAAGGUUCAUAAUUACUCCUCUCACUACAAGAUGCUUACCUUGCCAACACUUAGAUUCAGCUCUACUCAAACUUUUCUGGUUCACCCCAACAUUUCUCACAUGUUUGACUGUUGCUAAGCAGUUUUUGGAUAUCAAACGAACCUCCUAAGAAAAAUAGAAUCAACCAUUCGAGUAUUCUCAAAUUGUAUGAGAAAUAUGAGAAAAAUGGGAGCAUACAUGUGUGGUAUAUAUCUCAUGUAUAUUGAAUUGCAGAUACAAAAAUGAUAGAAUGCAGAUACAAAAAUGAUAGAAUCAUUACUGAUUAGACCAAAUACAAAUAUGGUCCCCGAGAGAGAUGAGAUGAAAGAAGAUAAGCAACAAAAAAAUGAGGAAGGACUUUUUAGGAAUCGGUAUCUAAUGAAUUCAAAGGUUCCAACAUAAGCAUAAAUGAAAGGAAAAGAGGGGCACAAAAGGAAACAAGGAUGAAAAUGUCGAGAUAUAUCGGUUUGUGUAUCGGUAACCUCCAACACAAUACAUGCAGAGGAAAUAUCAGAGCCACAAUAUUUCCAUUAAAAUCGUCAUUUUUCGCCGAUAUAUCCCUGACAUUUUCAUGAUAUUUCGGUAGUCGCACCCGAUAUAUUGAUGCCACAUCAUCCCCAUUUCAUUUUUUAUUUUUCCCCAAAACUCUUAUAAUGGGCCCAAGCACUAGCCCAACCCAUACUCUCACACCAGCCCAGCAUUGUGAGCCUUCCACCACUCCAAUGCUUAAAUACACCUUUUUGGUGUCAUGAAUUGUUUGCGAUUGCAAGAAUUGGAAUUUUUAAAAGGCAAGGGAAAAUGCAAGUGAAAUGAGGGAAAAUCCAAGUGAAAUGGAACCAAGGAGAUUUGAACCCCUAACCUCAUGCCCACAAUCCCCCACCAACACUAGCCAACCAACCAAACUUCACUUAAUUAAAUGUACAUAUUUUAUAUAAUAAUUACAUAUAAAAUAAAUAUAAAUUUUUGAAUAAAAAAUACUUAUGCAAAUUAUCAUUAUUUCUUUUAUAUCAUUAAAUGCAUCCAAAAUAGAUGAAUACGCAUAAAGUAUGUUUUCAAGUUAUAAACAUUAUGGUUAAUGUUUUCAAGUUAUAAACAUUAUGGUUAAUGUUUUCACGUUAUAAACAUUAUGGUUAAAUAUCACAACUGUACAUAUAUCAUCAUUUAUUUUAUAUCAUUUAAUAUAAUUGAAUUAAAUGAAUCAUAAUUUUAAUAUUAAAUAUAUUUUUAAAUUAAAAUAUUAUAAUCAAAUAUCACAAUAUUAUUAUAAAAUAAUUUUUUAUAUAAUUUAAUAAUAAAUGCACACUUAUAUAAUUUAUAUUUUUUAUCGAUACAUAUGAUAUUAUCAUCAAAUAUGAUAAAUCAUAUUAUACAUAUAUCAAAUUCUUUAAAAUGUCUAUUAUACUUCUAAUUACAUUUCUACGAGAUUUUUCUUACAUUUCCACGAAUUUUGAUCAAUUUUAGGGUUAUCGAUAUUUUUUUUUUAAAUAUCCAUCGAUAUACCUCAAAUAUUGAUAUAUCCAUGAUUACCAAUAUUUUCAUACGUGGAAGGAAAUAAUAAAAGCUAUUAUUCUUGAUAUUUCAAGGACUCUCAAGCCUUAUCUUCUUUUGUGGUAGAUUGGAUGAUUUAACAGGAAUGAUAUAUGUCAUGGAAUCCCAAAAAGUCACCGCAUUGUCAAUAUUUCCAUAAUGUCUAUUGCCAUUGGUAAUAGGUUGUCAUUAAGUGGGACUAUUCUCAAUCUAUAUUGCAAAUGAUAAGAUCUUUUCUACCAUGAGCUCUUGAUCUUUUGCAAGCACUUCUUCAUCACACAAAACAUCACUCAAGAUGAUGCAAACAAGUCACAUUGGACUUAUAGUAAUUUUUGGGAGUAUUUGGUUUCUGAACUCUAUGGCGAGUAUGACAUUGAAUAAUGAACCCAUCUUUUUGAAAAAACUCAUCUCUUGUGUGAUCAUGUUGCCACAAAUCCAUUUCAAACAUAGACAAUGAUCUUUGAUGAAAAAAAAAAAUUAGAAGAAAUCAUGAAGGAAUUAUACAAGAUAUAUUAAGAUAAUCCUAGUUACCAAAUGUAAUGCUAAAAAUAAAAUACAUAUGAGAUUUUGACACUUAUAUACAAUUUUUUUUUUUAUAUUAUGGUUUCAUAGUUCUCUCAACAUAAGACAAAUUAUAUGUAUAAAGGGCUAAUCCAUGCAUCAACUACUUUUCAAUAGUCUUAACAAUAAUAAACAUAAUAUUGUUAUAUUAUAUGAAAAGAAAUGAUAUCUAGUUUGUGAUUGUAAUGUGCUCCAAAAGUCAUUUUUAAAGGAAAAAAAUAUUUAAAUAUAUAUUGUUCAUUCUAAAACAAAAAAAUUUUCUGAAACUUUAAGUGUUAAAAUGAACAUGAUAACAAAAAAAGACCCAAAUAAAUGAAGAAAAAAACAAAAAGAUGUGCAUUACAUUCAAUGAAUUACUUGAUUCAAAUAACUUGGAAUUAGUUUAUGAGAUGUUUGAAUGUGAUAUAAGGAGUUAAGAAUUUUUAAAUAAAUUUAUUAUAUUUUUGGAGAGAUAAAGAAAAUGAGUUUUAGAAGGGAAAUAUAAGGCUAUUCCCAAUGAUAAGAACCUUUUAGUUGAAUGGGCAUGUUUCCUUCUUCUUCUUUUUUUUUUUUUUUAAUUUUGUUUUAUGAGAAAUAUCUAUUUGUGUUUCUAUAAAAUAACUUCAAGUGCUUCUCCAAAAUAUAAACAUACAUUGCUUUUAAGUUUUGUCAAAUCAUUAAUUUCCAUUAGUGAGCUUUUAGGACUAUAUAUUUUUUUCAACUCUAUAAAAAACAGUCACAUGCAAAUCCAUUUUAGUCAUCAAGCCAAACAAAAAAACAAAAGGAAACAUUAUACAAUUCAUUCACAGUUGAAAAUUUAGAACAUAUGACCUUUUGGCAAUAAGCCAAAUUUAGUCAAUUCAUGAUAUGCCAUCUUGUUAAAGGAAGAUUAAGAAAAUAAAUUUUCAGUUUUUAUCAUGCAUAUUUUCUUGAGAACAAAAUAUGAUCUUACUUGCUACCUCUCUUUUUUUUCCUUUAAAUCUAAAUUCUCAUGUUGUUUUUCAUGGAGUUAGCUUCAAAAAUAGAAGAUUAAAAUCUAUAUUUCUCUUGCUCAUGACUUUCCCCUUCCAAUGAGGCAAGUACAGUCAUUAUCCUUAAAUAUAAUAUAUAUAUAUAUAUAUAUAUAUAUAUAUAUCUAAUACAUGAGCUGCUUUGGUGCAACCCAUGGAUGGAAUGAAUUUACAGAAAAUUCUUUCCAUCAAAGCACCUCUAAGAAAAUUCUAACAAAAACUUUACACAUCAUAAUUUGACAACACGCACCAUAUUAAAAAUUGGAUAACCACAAAAGUUUCAAUCCGAUGAAAAGAAAGAUCAAAACAACUGAAGUACUAAGAUAUCAAAGCAUGACCAAUUAAAAAAUCGAAAAAAAAAAGUUAGAGAGAGAGAAACUAACACUGAAUCUGAAAGUGAACUGGAAAUUUGAUAGCGAUAACUCGAAUCCCAAAUUAAAAAACAAAACAAAACAAUGAAAGCAGAAAAAAAACAAAAGCAAUAGAUUAGGGAACGAAGAACUAACCAUCGUGAAGAGAAUAUGGAAAUUUUGAGGAAGAAUUGAAAGGGAAAAGAUCUAUAUAUAUGUUCGCAAUCGUAACCGUUACACAAUAAAUAAAAGAAUCACAAACGGAUAUAAUCUAAUCAAGAAACGGUAACUUGAUUCUAGAGAGUUAAUUGAGAAUAUUAAUGGAGCAUACCUGAAAUCACAAUAAACCUAUUCGGUAGAUUGAAAAUUGGUUUUUUGGGGAGAGCAGAUGAGGGAUUCCAACCUCUUUACAAGCUAGGGUUUCUAGCCAACUCAUCUAGUGAGAGAGGCCGACCUUGGUGGAUUGAGAACCCGAACCAAGCAUUGGAAGUUAGAUUUUUUCUGAACCAUCGACGUGAUUGGGUGAUGACACUGUUGCGUAAAAUGGCGAGUUGCUCCCGUGGACUCUGGCGACUUUGCCAUGUGAAGACAAGAGGUGUUCUUUAUUUAGAUUUAUUAAUAAAAUUAAUUGUGUAUAAAAUUAAUAAUAUGAAAAUUUCUCAAAAAAUAAAAAUAUUUUGACGUGAAGCAGGAAGAAAAAAAAAUUACUGAUUUAAAAACAAAGUUCAUUUAUGCAGGAAUAUCAUAAUCACUAGUGCAGUGUUUGUUUUCUUUCACUUAAUUUUAAAUAGAAUUUAAAUUUAAAUAAUAUUAAGUAUUAUAUUAUUUGUUUUUAUAAUUUUUUUUUAUAAAGUAUUAAAAAAAUUAAUAUGUUAUUUUUUCGAUUUAAAAAAAUUAAAUAUUUUGAUUUUUUUUUUAAUCCAAAAAUUCAUAAUAAAUGAUAAAAAAAAUUUAAAAAUAAACAACUUAAAAUCUAAAAACAAAUUAUUUUCAAUAAAAAGUUAUAAAAAAUAAACAUCCUUUAGAUUUGACAUCAAUUUCAUAACAUAUAACAACAUAAAAAUGGAAGCUUUUAAAAAAAUAAAAAGGAAAAAGAAAUAAACAAGGAAUUCGGUAAAUUUGCUUAGUGUGAAGUUCACUAGCGAAAGAGCAUUAAUUUGGUGAUGAUUACUUUUCAAAUUUUUACUAAAUUACAACCUAAUAUGUACUAAUAAGUACAUAAAAUUGUAAUCAACAAUUAAAAUAAGGGAGUAAUAAAGAAAUAAGAAAAUAAAAUACAAACAAAUUUGAUCAUAGUUCAACAAAUCUCAUUCUAGUUGAUACUCCCAAGCUUCUUCUAACCUAUAGAAUUUUUACUAGUUUUUCAAGAUUUUUCUAAGACUCGGAUGCACACAAUCGAUUUCUUUCCAAGACCCAACAAGUUAUAUGUUAGAUUUCUUUGGGUAUUAAGAGACUACUACAAACUUUUGAUAUCAUAUCCUCACACCUAAGACUCUCAAUGAUGUUUAUAAAGUUUUCACAAUUACAAAAAAGAUAAAAAUAAAAAACAUUUUUAAAGCAAAUAUAGUCUAAAAUAGUUUGACUUGAUUGCAAUCAAUAUAGUUUACAAGUUGAAGUUUAAUGCAUAAUAUAUAAAAUGCACAAAGAAUUAUGGAUUCAAUAUAAUAAUUAUUAGGAUUCUUGCUAUACUAAUUUAAGAUAAUCAUCUCUGAGGGUGAUUAUGACAUUUUGCAAAUUUAACAAUUAUAAAAUGGAAAGUAAUAGUAUGAUAAAUAUCAAUAUAAAAGCAAUUUCAAAGAAAUAAAGAAGAUAGAUAAGAGAAAUUGUAAACAUUGGUUUUUAUAGUGGUUCAACACAAUCCAACCUAUAUUUACUUAUUUUAAGCUCCUAAUUUAGUAAGAGUUUUACUAUUUUAAGACUCUCAACCCAAGUCUCCAACCUUAUAAUCGGAUUAUGAUUAUAAACACUCUUUACAACUGUGAAACCAAGGUUUGAUUAAUCUUGAUUUUGAUGAUAACAAAAUAAGGUUUAGAACUAAUGAUCAUAUUUCAAGUGUGAUUAGGCAAGACGAUUUCCAAAGUGGCAAUCACAAAGAAAAAUAAAGCCAAAGAAAAAAUAUGAAGAAGAAGACCAUCUCAAAGAGACGAGUUUUUCAAGACCAAAGCUUCAUAAGAUCUCUUUGUAAGGUUGUUGGUGCACUAGGACUUUCAUGCAUUUCAUUCUUUAUUUAUGCACCAAAAUCAUUCAAGAGUAAUAUUUUUUUAAAUAUCUUAAGAAUUUGAUGAUUUCAUGUUUUCAACUAAAACCUUGUGUUAAAUGAUUUUCAAACUUGUGUUAAAAGGUUUUAAAUUGAAAAAAGUUGGGUGUUGAGCUAAAAAAAUGGCUCAACCGGUUCAACCGGUCGACCGGUUGAGGGAGGCCAAAAAAUUUCUCUCUCUCCCAAUGGCCUUCUCUUCCCGGUCAAGGUUGAACCUCAACUGAUUAAGGUCCAGUUGAGGCCCAACGAUCACUUGCCAAACAUUAAAUGCUAACGGCUAGUUAACCGGUCGAACCCCCAACAACUAGCUUUCCUUUUUUCUUCUAUAAAAAGGCUUCAAUCUUUAUUGUUUCAUAAGUUUAACAUUCCCAAACCUUUCUUAAUUAUAUUUGAGCCUUGGAAAAGUGUUUUUGAGUGCACCAUUAUUCUAUAACUUGCAUAUCCUUAGUGCACCAUUCAAUCCUAAUUUUUCUUAUAUCAUUUGAGUUUAAAGUUUUUGUGUUAGGAUUUUUGAGAGAUCAUUCGUUUGUAAAUCUUUAAGAGGAAGUUUCUCAAGUGUAGGGUAUCACUUGAGGGGUUGUUCAAGAGUGGGAUAUCUCUUGAGAAGUGUAAAGGGUGCUUGGAGCCAAAAGUCCAAGAGGGUGAAUUGGAACUAUAAUCCAAUUGUAUUGCUUGAAGGCUUGAUUUGGAAGCCUUGGAUUAGUGGAACCUCAAGUUCAGGAUUGAAGCUAGAAGAGAGUGGAUGUAGGCCGGGUUGUACCGAACCACUAUAAACUCUUGUGUUUGCAUUCUCUCUUCAAUAUUCUUUAAUUUAUAUACAAUUGUUUAUAUAUUAAUUAUUAUAUACUUGCAUAUAAUUGUCUUUUGCAUUCACUUGUUUUAAUUUGCGAAAAGAGACCAUCACGCUAUCCCCCUCCCCCCCUCCCCAUCUAGGGUGAUUACCAUAGGUUGGAUUAAUCUCAAUUUUUUAACAACAACAAUUCAAAACAAAAUCUCUAAAGUCUUCUCUUUGGAUUAUAGUUUCAAAGCACCCUCGAAAUAUAAAAAUGAAGAAAAGACUCUUAAUUUACAACAUUUGUUCGAACGAAGUAAAAGAAAAAAACCAAAUGAAGUAUAGAAAAAAACUAGAAUCAAGGCGCACUAAAAGAUAUGCAAGUUUUAAAUCAAAAUGCACUGUAAAACACUUCGGUAGGCCCCAUAUAUAUUUAAUAAAUAUUUUGAAAUGUCAACCUUAUAAAACAAUAAAAUUUGAAAGUCUUUUUUUUUUUUAGGAGUUUAGAGCUCAAACUAGCCAUUAAGCACAAUUUUAGGUCAACUAAUUCGAUCAAUCAUUAGCCGUUAGACAAGUAAUUGUUGGAGGUUAGAAUAUCAACCAACCCUCGACCAAUUGAGGUUCUAUUGCAACCGGCUAGACAUAUGAUACUAGAGGCGAGAGGGUGCAAAAUACACCUUGAUCUAUCAAGCCCAACCAACUCAACAGGUUCUUUAAGCCCUCGACUAAUUGCGGUGUAAAGUUUUUAAACAACCUAGUUCAAGGUUUGGAACUUUCAACAAUCUAUGUUUAACUUCUUAAAGCCUUUUACGACAAAUUUAAAAUGAAUUUUACUCAGAAUUUUAGCAAAAAUAUGAAAUCAUAAACUAACCAAAUAUUGGUUUAACAAAUAAUUUACAAGUUGUCGUUUUGUCAUAAAAUAAGUCUCAAUGGUCAUACUUAUAAUAUUUCAUAGAAUAUUAAAUGUUGGGAACAUUAUCAGUUCAAUCAGUUGAUUGCUUUAUUAACAAAUUACCAAUUACUAGCAUUUGUAGGUAAUUCAUAAGAUUCAAUUGACCAAUCAAUUGUAUAAAUGAUUAACUAAUUGCUCAAUCAAAUAACUAAGGUAAAUUGGGUGACCACUAUGGUCCACUAAUCAUUCACUUUGGUCAUUGGCCAACUAUCCAAGUAAUACAAAAAUGAAAAUGUUACACAAGUGAACUUUAAUAUUUAGAGUCCGUUCAAUUUGAAUGUUUAAGAUUGAAAAAUUACUUUUAAUGAUGAAAAUAUAUGCUAACACAUAAGUUUUAAUAUUUUAAAGAAUUACGAUGAUCACAAAUUAUGAUAGACUUAGUAUAUCAACAAUAUACUUAGUAGAUUGGCUAUCAAUUUGGCAAUAAGGUAACAACUUCGUGAUUAGAAAAAAUGCAAGAUCUCAUAAAAAUGACAUGUGUCAUGAGUCUAUUUAGAAGCUAUUACUAUUUGUUGUGUAACAACUCGUGUCAUAGACUCUAUAAAUGGUUGAAUAGAAAGAAAAAGAUAGGAUUAGAGUAAGAUGUUGGAUACCUUUAUUUACUAAAAAUAUUUAUCUCACACAUUGAUUUUUACUUUCUUUUUUAUUGUGAGGAGAAUUUUUGGCUCUUACAAAUUGACAUCAUCUACAAGAACAACAAAAAAUGGUCAAUCUCUCAUCAAAAUGUAAAGUAAAAAACCUUAGUGCAAGAUAAUAUACAUUAACAUUUGUAACUCCAUUUAAAUCUCAUAUCAAGCUCUCACCUCAUAAUAAUAUUUACGAGACAAGAUUUUUCUAGUUUAAAUAUUUAUUUACUCAUAGAUUUAUUAACUAUAGUUAUCAUUUAAAGUUUUUAUACAUAGAAACUCAUUUGUUAUAAAACCACUUAUUAUUCUUAUUAUUUUAUUUUUACAGGCUUACAUAAUCUCUCUAAUAUUUGUUGAAUAUGCUAAAAUAAAAUUUAAAUUGCAUGAUCAUCCAUUAAAAAUGUAGCUAAAGGUCAUAAAAAUUCAAUCUAAAAAUUGUCUCAUAAAAACUCUGGGUAAAAAUUGAUUGAGAAAUAAUUGAAAAUAAAAAAAUAUUUAUUAAAAAAAUAAAAAACAAAUGAAGAAAUGAAAUAUAUUUUAGUAUAAACUUCAAAAAUAAAUUAUGUAUUUAAAUACGAAGAUUCAAAGUCAAACAAAUUUAAAGGAAUAGAAUCCAAAUGAUCAACGAUGAGUUAUUUGCUGCUAAGUGGAGUCGCCCACUAACAAGAAGAAGGAGAGUCCUUUACCAUGGUGAGCAUCAGCUGCACCACUCAUGAGUAUGACCAUUUUGACAAAUCAACUAUCGACUUCAAGACUUCUAAGGAGAAUUUUAUGAUUCAUAUAAAAUAAAUCUUAUUUUUCAUAAGAAUUAUUAAUAAUGCAUAAAUAAAUUAUUUUAAAAAAUUAGCAUUCAAACAAAAGGAGUGGUUUUUGAUUUAGUAUGUUUUUUUUUUAAUAAAAAAAGAGUCUAAAAUUUUAAAAUUUAAAAACAACAAAGACAAUUUAAGGAAAAAUCCGGCACAUAUUUGAAUCUAAAAAUGAAAAAUAGUAAAAAUCAUAAAAUUAUAUAAAUUAAUUGCUAAUUAAAUACUUGAAGACAAUUUGGCAAUUUCGUAGUAAUUUUUUAAUGGACAACAGGUGGGAUGGGCCCACCAGAGAUGCCAUGAUCUCAUCGGACGGUUGAGAUAGUUGGGAGUCAAAGGCAGUAAGCAGUGAAACGACUGAAACGAAAGAGAGGAAAUGAUUUCCGAUUUCCCCCCAAAGCCCGCCCAAUGUGAGAGAAAAGGCAGAGCCGGGAAAUGUUUUUGACUUCCCAAAUUUAAAACAAAAACCCAAACAAAAAUCAAAUUCCAAAUUCCAAACUUCAAUGCCAUGGCAAUUCUCAGAACCGCGCAACUUAUAGCUUUUGAAUUUAUGGGAAAUGGCGCUAUUUCUUACUCUCGCUCGCUACAAAAUCACUUCCUAAUCUCAAACCACUCCCUCCGUCCUCCCCUCUCUUCUCUUCUCUCUCUGCAAUUACACUCCCUUCCCAUUUCCGCCUAAAUCCUCCAACUACGAGGGCUAUGGCGGAUCAGGAGAACUCCGUGCGGAUCACAAGGGCAGCCAAGAAGAGGGCCGCUGCUGCCAUGGCCGCGUCAGAUUCACUGCAGCUUCCGCCCAACAAGAAGCGUGUGGUCUUGGGGGAGCUUCCCAAUUUAUCCAACGUCGCUGCCACUCCGGCUGCUGUGCCCGCUUCUGGAGCCCAGAAGCAGAAGUUUAGGCCCAAGAAGAAGGAGAAGGUGAAGGCGGCGGUGGUGGCGCCUGAUGUUGGUGCCAAGUCGGAUGAUCCGCAGAUGUGUGGGCCUUACGCUACUGACAUUUACGAGUAUCUUCACAGCAUGGAGGUAAGGAGGGGUCUCUUGUUUCUUUGAUUUGGAUAGUUGGAACUUGUGUAGUUAUAAUAUCGGGUCAGGGUGCUUGUUUCUUAUUCCAUUUCGUCAGAUGGUUUGUUGGGUGAGAAAAUUGGAGAAAGGAAUUUUCGAUUCUGUGUUUGGUGAUGUCUUUGUUCCCAAAGACGAAAAUUUCACCUAGGUUGAACAUGGCAAUCAAUCGUAAAAUUCACAUCAUUUCUUGGUGUCGGGUUUAAUUUGAUUAUGGGCAUUGGAAAUGGGGUUUUUCUGUUUGAACCAAUUGGGGCUGAUUUUCUUGACGGGGUCUUAUUCAGAUGGAGCCAAAGAGAAGACCAUUGCAUGAUUACAUUGAGAAGGUUCAGAAGGAUGUGAGUCACAAUAUGAGGGGGAUUUUGGUGGAUUGGUUGGUGGAGGUUGCAGAGGAAUACAAGCUUGCGUCUGACACUUUGUAUCUGACCAUUUCUUACAUUGAUAGAUUCUUAUCUUCAAAAGCUCUCAACAGGCAGAGGCUCCAGCUAUUGGGUGUUUCUUCAAUGCUCAUUGCUGCGUAAGCAUCCAAGCCCUUGAUGUAGUUCCUUCUUUUGUUAAGGCUGUGUUUGGUUUAGGAAGUUUGGAGAAAGAAAAUUAGAUUAUGAGGAUGCGUUUUUUUUUCUAAACUUGUCUUACGGAGAGAAAUUUUUUUUAAUUAUUUUUUCUUCUAUUUUCUUAACUUUUUUCCACCUUUUUCAUUGUCAAUAGUAUUUUUCAAUAACCAAACAUAGUCUAAAGCCUUUUUAAUCUUGUCACUUUGGUUUGAAAAUUAUUGCUAAUAGUUCUUUAUCUCUAUGUGAUAAGUAGAAAGUAUGAAGAGAUCAGCCCUCCACACGUGGAAGAUUUUUGUUACAUAACAGACAAUACAUACACCAAAGAGGAGGUGAGUUUGCAUCUAUUUUCCUUUUAUUUUUGUUUGAUUUUCUUUACCAAAUCUGCCUCUGGAAUUUUAUUCAUAUUACCAAUUUCAUUAAAGCUGUUUUGGUCAUGAAUAUGAAGGUGGUGAAGAUGGAGGCUGAUAUUCUAAAAUCUCUUAAUUUUGAAAUGGGCAAUCCCACAAUAAAGACAUUUCUCAGGUAAGAUCACAGUCCAUACACCAUAAUCCUAGUCUGUCAUAAUAAUUGAAAUGUUUUGCAGUUGUGUAAUUGAUGUGAUGUUUCAUUGAACUAAGCAUUGCUCUUUUCUUCUUUUGGUUUGCAGACGGUUCACCAGGAUUGCUCAAGAAAAUUACAAAGUAAGACAAUCAUCUCUCAUCCUCUUUUAUGUGCUGGAGAUGGGAGCUUGAGUUAUUGACUUAUUAGUUGCAUUUUGUCUAUGCAGACUCCCAAUUUGCAGUUGGAGUUUCUGGUUUAUUACCUUGCAGAGCUAAGUUUGUUGGAUUAUGGAUGUGUGAAAUUCUUACCUUCCAUGGUAGCUGCAUCAGUUAUAUUUCUUUCAAGAUUCACACUCCGUCCAAAGACACAUCCUUGGGUAAGAUGCUGACAAUGUGUUUUGAUAAAUUUGAUUUCUUGUUUGAAAAAGCGAAGUGAAAUAUAAAUUGUGUAUGUCAUGCAGUGUUCAAGUCUGCAACAUCAUUCUGGAUAUAAACCAUCAGAGCUGAAGGAAUGUGUUCUAAUUAUACAUGAUUUACAACUGAGUAGAAGAGGAGGUUCUUUGGUGGCAGUAAGAGAGAAAUACAAGCAGCAUAAGGUAUAUAUAGUUUUGAAUAUCUUACUCCUUUUGAUACAAAUGGAAAUAAGGUAGAAUGGGUAAUCUGAUUCAAGUUAAUUUCCUUGAACAGUUCAAAUGCGUGGCAACAUUGUCUUCCCCCUCAGUGAUACCGGUUUCUUAUUUUGAAGAUAUUAAAGAAUGACAAUUAUGGUGUGAUGCGGUGUUUCAAUUGACAAUGAAUCUGUGGGAUAUUCACCUUUUGUAAAGCUUGGAAUUACAAUAGAGGUUCCUGCACCCCUGCACCAGAAGUCUUAACAUUUUAGGUUGAUUAGUUGAUCUUAUUGAUGGAAGGGAACCUUGGGUCGGAUUGAAUUCUUUGCCAUGGACAAAUGGUUUUUGUGCCAGUUUUUCUCAUCUAAUGCUGGGAGACAUCUAUCUGGAACUUGAAUAGGCUGGUGGGCGCUAGCAAUCAUUGAUAGUUAUCCCCUUCAAGGAUAGAAGUUUUAUUAGAUUUUAAAUUCCUAUCAUAGAUGAUGUUGACAUAAAAAAAAAUUGCUUGGUUCUGUUUAUAGCUCCAGUUUGUAAUGCUGCAUGGUGAACUUGUAUGCUUGAAUUUUGAAGCCUCCAAUUUCAGGAUCUUAAAAUGAUGUACAAGUCAAAUAUUGAUGAAUCAAUAUCUACCUAGAGAAGCAUUACUGUCACUCAUUCUCCAAUUACCCAGGAGUUUGACUGUUUUAAUUCUAGGCAUUUCAAACAACUAUCUCCAUUGGUUGAUCUUUGAAUGCUGGCUUACAUUUUAUUUUUAUUUUUUAGUCGAUCUUGGAGGCAAUGUGGUGAUUGUGAUACACUGCUGGUGAUUGAUAAAAUCAGAGGAUGUUAUGUCAUUUCUGAAGCAUCUUUUAUUUUAAACCAUUCAAGUUGCAAAAAAUAAUGCAUGGCAUUAUCAUUAAAAUGGGCCAUGGCAUGGCAUUGUGAAUUGUGAAACUGAAAACAGUUGGUAAGUAUAAAUGAAUAUGAAUUUUUUGUUUUCUGCAGAUUUGAGUUUCAUGAGAUCUUGUAAAGAUCAGGGAUGUUGUGAUGGAAGGGAUUGGGGAAACUCAGACUAUUAUACAAAAUGAUGGCUGAGAAAAUGUAAGUAAAUUGGCAAUGCCAGAAGAGGAGAAAAAAGGAAGUAGUUGGUCUUUGGCAUUAAUGAUUGAGGUUUGUCUAGCUUGAAAGUACUUCCAUUGAAGUAUACCGUGAUUUUUCAGUUUGCAAGACAAUUCCUCCUGGUUCUUGGAGAUAAGGAAAGCAAGAGGUAUGAGUCAUAUAACUGGCAUUUGGCCUAGUAAACUAUAAUGGAUUCACAUCUACAUUUUCUGUUAUGAUUGCUUCAUUUAUAUCCAGAAAACUGGCUAGAUUUUAAAGUUAUGUUUGGUUUUUGGAAAAUACUAAGGAAAGAAAAAAAGAUGUAAAGAAAAAUGAUUUUUUUAUGUUUGGUUAUUCUAUGAAAAGUAUAAAAGAAAAUAAAAUAUAAUUAAAAUUAAUUAAAAACUUAUGUAUUUUUAAAUUAUUUAAUUUUUAUAUUGAUGAGUUAAAAUAAAUAAAAUGAACUUAAAGUAAAAAAAAAAAAAUUAUUGACUUUUAAUUUAUUUUUUAUUUUUCUUCUCUUUUUCUUUUGUAUUUUCUUUCCCUUGUAUUUUCUUUCAAAUUUUAUGGAAUCAAACAUAGCAAUGUUCAGGUCUAGCAAGGAUAAGAAUCCACUCAAGCAAUUCUUGGACUACAAUAGUAGGAUGAUAUAGGCAUACAAUUUUUGAAGCAAACAGCAGCAAGAUUGGAAGGCGUGGUUUUCUGAGAUAAUGAUUCAAAGAAAUUGGCCAUUAUUCAGGCGUUAAGAUAGAGUAGAACCCUGCAAAAACUGAAAGCUAGAAAAUUGUUUUCUUUUUCUUACCAUUCCUUCUCUUUUUAUUGGGGAGAACCUCCACCCGUGGGACGUUGGAUCUUGUAUGCAUGUAGACCUGCAUAAGCUUCUGGUUGCUGAUUAACAAAGACACAAUGGAUAUUGAGAAGGAUCAAAGUCGGAGAUCCAGGUCGAGUUGAGGGUAGUCUGAUGGUUGUUUGCAGUAGGGCGGUUGAGAGUUCAUGCGAAAACUUCCUGGCCAUAUUAAAUUUGUUGCUUCUUCAGGGACCACUGAUGUCCAGGGCAAACCAAACCCAUUGCUAGCAUCACUGAAUCGAGCCAUCAUAGUUGGAGCUUCUCUAAAUGGUUUGUGCACAAGUGAGUGAGGCCGAAAUCCCAGUGAUCGGACAGAUGGAUUACAUGGGGGCAAACCCAUGAUUCCCAUCAUCCUCUGAGAUUGGUACCUUUUAACUGCUCCUCUCUCCCUUUUGUGUGCAUUCUGGUGGCCACCCAGUGCUUGGGAACUAAAGAAUUUCCUCAUGCAGAAGUUGCAUGAGAAGACCUUGUUGGAAGCAGAUUCUGGUUGAGACUCCUUGUUUCCAGCCAUCAGAGCAUCAUUUCUGCCGACCCCCAAGGUAAGCCACACUUUUGAAUCAUCAUCCCCAGUGUCCCCAUAAUCAUUGUUAUCUGCUUCUGAUCUACUCUUCUGAUUGUUAGCUGAUAGCUCUGCUAUUUCUUCUCUCGGGAAUGUCAUUUUCACAAUAAUCAAAGUACAGGGGGAUGGCUAAGAAGAGACUCUGUGAGAUGAUGGUAGUCACUCAUAAAGGGGGCUGAGCCAAUAGACAAGAUGAGAGAAGGAAUAAAAAUGGAGAGGUGAUGGAUUAUCAUGUAUCAUACUUGGAAGUGGAGUGGAAAUGGAUAUUUUUCAAUUUUAUCGUGUCCUUGUCCGUGGCCCCAAUUAGAUGCCUGAUAUUUCCAGAAAUAUGCUUAUGUCAAGGUUUAGUCUCCACUCUUCACCAUUUCUGAUUAUUUGUUUCACUUUUUUUCCAACUCCUGUUGUUGUGGGAGUACCUUAUGCUCUUGACUUCUACAUCCAUCGAACUUUUUCCAUCACAAUCAAAUCUGAAUCUUGAAAAUUGUAAUAUCAACUGUCUGCCAUGGACUUGUUGCUUUGUUAUCAGUCCUGGUUUGAACUUGGGACAAAUAAAGAUGUGCUGGCUUUGUCUGAAUUCCAGAGUCUACAUCCCUCAUUCACACAUAGGCAUCAUCUCAUGCCCUUCACCUUCCAUGAAUUAAUUCGAGCCUAGAGUCGUGCUUUUUCUGAUGCAAUAGCAAUUAUUUCUAGACAAAGAAGCCCAUAGAUAGAGCCCUCUGCUUUGGUAGAUUGGACAGUAAGCUCAGAUUUUGAGCAUUUCUAGUUUUCCAUAUAUGGGUUUUGGGAUCCCCAAGUCUGUCUUCAAGUGGAAAUGGAACUUUCGUCUUUCCUGGACAAGUGGUGGGCAGAGGCGAGUGUGUAUGUUAUCGUGUUGUAAAAAUAGAGUGCAUUGAAGAACCCAGUUUCCCUCCACUUGUGGUGCUUCCUUGGAGAUGAUUCGACGUCAAUUGUGGAAUGAUGACUCAGGCGCUUGAAUCAUAGACUUGUCUCAUCCAUUGCCCACUCCUCAAAAAGAGAAGUUAGUGGCAACAAAGAUGGAAAUUAUUUUGUGUCUUCUUUUAUUCUUUAUAUGGAAUGUAAAAUGUACCGACUUUUUCACUAAUGGGAUGGUUCUGUAACGCGUUUUUGGCCCCAAACUAUCACCUUUCUAAAUGAAACAGCAACUAUGUACGACACUUCCCGUGCUUUUGAGUGCGUACAGAAUGGCCAAUACUUUCUCCUCAUCUCAAGUUCUCAACUACAAUUCCAAGUACAAAACUACCAGGUCCAACAGAGGGAUAUCCUGAUGUUUGAGAAGAUCAACCACGCAAAAGCAAAGCCCUACUCAGUUUUGCUGCUUAUGCCUUUCAGACCUACACUAUCCCAUAAGGUAGUUGAUCAAUGCCAUGGGUGGAGCACAUUUGGAUUCGAACUUAAUAGAGAGGUAGUGGGCCAUGUUACAGUCACCCAAUUUGUACAGGAAACAACUUCAAUACAACAAUUUCUAAACCAAUACACAAACAGCAUUCAAUGUUUGAACCUACAGAGGCUCACAGCUGCAACAACAGAAAAAAAAUACCCCUGUGAAAAUCGAAAUAGUUCUUCCACCACAGAGUACAUGAAAUUAUUUAAGUACAAAUUUUGAAACCCAAUACACAAAUGAAGUCUCAGAGAAAGGGGUGGCAGUCUUAUCACCUUCACUGUUCGAACUGACACUAAUGGUGCCAUCAUUCCCCCAGUUAAUGUUACAAUAGAACACAGGUGAAAUGGUUCACAGAAAACAUUUUUAUGAGAUACAACUGAAAAUCUUCCAAGCCUUACAUUUUAAGAUCCAAAACACAAACUAAUUUGUUGACAAAAGAAACAGCAAUUUUGUCACUACUCUUGUUCCAACUGAUGUCUGUAACUCCACCACCUCCAUAGUACGAUUUGAUAAGCCUUCCCUCUUUCACCGACCAGACAUAGAGCCAGUUGUCUAAAGAGCCACUUGCCAAGUACUCCCCAUUGGGGCUAAAUUCAAUUGUAUAUAUGAUAUUCCUAUGGUUGCAGCAAAAUACCCAUGUCAAAUAUGUAACAACACUGUUUCAUUCUGAGGCAUCAGAAAGAUUGAGGUGAGUUCAGGGUCCAAACCUUAUUAUUGACUAACAAAACCUUAAAGUUAGAAAAGUGAUGAAUCUUUCCCAGCAGAACCCUCAAGAGGUGUUCGUAUAGCUUACAUCUUUUUAUAGAAGCAUUUUGAAACUUUGGGGUGCGAGUGCUUCUUACAAAAUCUACUUUAGCCUUUAUACCAGAUGCCGUAUUUUUAUUUAGAGCAGAUGGUUCAUCUAGAAGUCUUUUCAACACAUACUAAAUGAAAAAGAUCAACUGAUUAGUGACACACAGCACUCAUGUCAAGGGGUCGAAGCUGUGAUGUAAUAAACCCAGUAGAUUUGGCAGGACAAAAAAAUAAAAACCAAGUGAUCUCUUCCUUGUUCUUAAAUGAGGGGUGCAGACACAUGAUAUGGUUCACAUCAAGGUGUGACCAAAUUAAAUCGCUCAGGCCCAACUUCAAGCAUGUUGGCCAUGACUACAGGUAUGUUCAGUCAGUACCUUAUACUUGGGACCUUGCAUAGUCCCAAUAAAUUUCAUCUGACAAAUAGGAGAGGCAGUGGAAUGAUCAAGUUUGUUACCUGUGGCGAGUCAGGCCAUAUAUAGGGUUCCCUCGCUCCACAUCCCAUACAUUUAUGGUGUUAUCAAAAGAUGAACUACACAAAACAAGGAAUACAGUUAAGCUAGAGCACAGGAAACAGGAAUAUAUGAAGUAAACAUGAUAAUAAAAUAUGCAUGAAUGUUAAACCUAGCAAACACAUAUACACAUAUAUGUGCCUACACUACUAUAUACUUAAUGCAGUUGGGGUUUUGGUGUAAUCCUUUCAAACUAAGCUAGAUCAUCACCUUUUUCAAACAAUUCUAUCACCAAAAUACACAAGACAAAUUUGAUAUGAUAAAAGAAACUAGACAACCUUAAUUACAAACAUGUCCUUGUAAAAGGUAAAGAAUAAUUUUAUUCUCUCUAAUGGACUCUCUCCCAAUGGAUUCUCUAACAAGAUAAAAUUUUGAGGCAUGUUAUCGUGUCUGUCUGAGAAAUAAAUAGACUCCAUUUGAAGAAAAUACCAUUUUCAAAGAUAAAGUAAUGAGAAUUUUUAAUUAUACCAUAAGUAAUAGAUGAAUAUAUAUGACCUGGAGAAACCAUAAGACAACAAGGGUGUCUUGAAAAGCAAGAUUUACUCAGCUGAUUUGGAAUGGUGCAACAGCAAACCAUGGUUCAACUACAACAUCAAGGUUAACUUCAUCAAUGAUGAAAUAUUCUCACUUGAUCUAUGACUUAAAAUUUGUGAGACAAACAUUUCUCCCUUGUUGGUUACUGACAUUAGCUUGUUAGUGACUGUUAUAAGUUGCAUCAGUACCUGCUUUAACAAUGAUAAAAAUUACUUUGUCAAAGAAGUGGCAUAUUCACCUAGCCAGUAGUAGUGUCAGAUUCGGGUUAUCUGUCGUAGGCCCAGUAGGACUCCAUUCAAUACAGUAUACCUCCUGCAAAUAAUUAGAUAUAUUCCCAGUGAAAUUCAGAAAUUAAAAAAAAAAAAAAACAUGAAAAACCAAAAAAGGAGAACUCUAAGUCUAAUACCCUCUUGUGACUCCUCAAAUCGCGCACAAACGAAUUGUGAUUCAUACUCCAUAUCUGUCACAUGCUUCAUUUAGUUGUCAGUGCAAAUUGUAAUAAGUAUUUAAUGGAAAAAAUGCAUCAAAAUGGAAAGCCUUUGACAUCUAUAAACUCCACUGGCAUCAUCUUAACUAUUUGAAAUUAUGAAAUACUUAACCUAAUAUUAAAUAUAAGUAUUAUUAACAACUUGUAAAAGGAAUAAAAGAGAGAUGAUCAAAAUUGAGAAGACAUUUCUGCUGAAACCAAACCCCGCUGUUCACCCCCCAAAAAAAAAGAGGACAAAAGAAGAAAGAAUCAAAAGAAAAGAGGAAAUGUUAUACUGCUUCCAAUUUACUUGGAAGAUACAAAUACAUAAAAAGAAUGCAAAUGUAUCAAGAAAAAUUACAUGGGUUUACAUGGCCAUUUAUAUAAGGCAAGAAUGAUAUAAGAAAACCAUAAACAUGAUGCAACUAAGAAUGCCAUUAUGCUAAUACCAUGUUUCAAUAUUAGCACAGCAAAAGAGAUGAAAUAAUAGAUGUCUUCAUGAACAGAUCAAUAUUUAACAUCUAGAAGUACAUCUUAAUGAUCUCAUAAUUCAGAAGUAAAUCAAAUAGUUAAAGAAAGAAAUAGCCUCAAUUACCUAAAGUAGGAGAGGUCAUAAAGAAAAGUAAUGAAAUAGUUAAAAAAAUAAAUAGCUUCAUAUCA
Molecule: long non-coding RNA, 52662 nt
Filed under: Vitis vinifera (wine grape)
Lineage: Eukaryota; Viridiplantae; Streptophyta; Magnoliopsida; Vitales; Vitaceae
Description: long non-coding RNA (VVIN_LNC005998)
Source: RNAcentral